GAAAUCCUUCUCCCAAGAAAUUAAAGAGUUGGCAUAAAGAUGUCAAUACUCCAAACCUUAAUUCUGUUCUCCUUCCUCCUCUCCGCCUCCCACGCGGCGGUCCAGGACUUCUGCGUUGCAGACCUCUCGGCCCCCGAGGGCCCCGCGGGCUACUCCUGCAAGAAUGUCUCAGCAGUCACCGUGAAUGACUUUGUCUUCUCAGGCCUCGGCGUGGCUGGGAACACCUCGAACCUCAUCAAGGCUGCGGUGACCACGGCAUUUGUAAACCAGUUCCCUGGCCUGAAUGGGCUCGGCAUCUCCUUGGGCCGCCUGGACAUAGCCCCCGGUGGGGUCAUUCCAUUGCACACGCACCCGGGUGGCUCGGAGGUCCUCCUUGUCCUCCAAGGAAGANNNNNNNNNNNNNNNNNNNNNNNNNNNNNNNNNNNNNNNNNNNNNNNNNNNNNNNNNNNNNNNNNNNNNNNNNNNNNNNNNNNNNNNNNNNNNNNNNNNNNNNNNNNNNNNNNNNNNNNNNNNNNNNNNNNNNNNNNNNNNNNNNNNNNNNNNNNNNNNNNNNNNNNNNNNNNNNNNNNNNNNNNNNNNNNNNNNNNNNNNNNNNNNNNNNNNNNNNNNNNNNNNNNNNNNNNNNNNNNNNNNNNNNNNNNNNNNNNNNNNNNNNNNNNNNNNNNNNNNNNNNNNNNNNNNNNNNNNNNNNNNNNNNNNNNNNNNNNNNNNNNNNNNNNNNNNNNNNNNNNNNNNNNNNNNNNNNNNNNNNNNNNNNNNNNNNNNNNNNNNNNNNNNNNNNNNNNNNNNNNNNNNNNNNNNNNNNNNNNNNNNNNNNNNNNNNNNNNNNNNNNNNNNNNNNNNNNNNNNNNNNNNNNNNNNNNNNNNNNNNNNNNNNNNNNNNNNNNNNNNNNNNNNNNNNNNNNNNNNNNNNNNNNNNNNNNNNNNNNNNNNNNNNNNNNNNNNNNNNNNNNNNNNNNNNNNNNNNNNNNNNNNNNNNNNNNNNNNNNNNNNNNNNNNNNNNNNNNNNNNNNNNNNNNNNNNNNNNNNNNNNNNNNNNNNNNNNNNNNNNNNNNNNNNNNNNNNNNNNNNNNNNNNNNNNNNNNNNNNNNNNNNNNNNNNNNNNNNNNNNNNNNNNNNNNNNNNNNNNNNNNNNNNNNNNNNNNNNNNNNNNNNNNNNNNNNNNNNNNNNNNNNNNNNNNNNNNNNNNNNNNNNNNNNNNNNNNNNNNNNNNNNNNNNNNNNNNNNNNNNNNNNNNNNNNNNNNNNNNNNNNNNNNNNNNNNNNNNNNNNNNNNNNNNNNNNNNNNNNNNNNNNNNNNNNNNNNNNNNNNNNNNNNNNNNNNNNNNNNNNNNNNNNNNNNNNNNNNNNNNNNNNNNNNNNNNNNNNNNNNNNNNNNNNNNNNNNNNNNNNNNNNNNNNNNNNNNNNNNNNNNNNNNNNNNNNNNNNNNNNNNNNNNNNNNNNNNNNNNNNNNNNNNNNNNNNNNNNNNNNNNNNNNNNNNNNNNNNNNNNNNNNNNNNNNNNNNNNNNNNNNNNNNNNNNNNNNNNNNNNNNNNNNNNNNNNNNNNNNNNNNNNNNNNNNNNNNNNNNNNNNNNNNNNNNNNNNNNNNNNNNNNNNNNNNNNNNNNNNNNNNNNNNNNNNNNNNNNNNNNNNNNNNNNNNNNNNNNNNNNNNNNNNNNNNNNNNNNNNNNNNNNNNNNNNNNNNNNNNNNNNNNNNNNNNNNNNNNNNNNNNNNNNNNNNNNNNNNNNNNNNNNNNNNNNNNNNNNNNNNNNNNNNNNNNNNNNNNNNNNNNNNNNNNNNNNNNNNNNNNNNNNNNNNNCUCUCUUCUUGACACUCGACCUAUUCGAGUCGUCCCUUGAGUUUGGAUGCUUGCAACUGUCUAGGUAUCCCUAUUGUCUUUAAGUACCUGCUGCCGUCCAGGUACUCUCUUUUCAUACCACUCAACUUGCCCGAGUUGUCCCCAAAUAAUAGCAAUAGUUCAAGCAUUCCACCACACUAUGCGCUUACGAUUACUCAGGUAUACUUUCUUACACUUGGACCAGUUGAGCAGUCCCUGAUCAUAUCAUUAAAUAUUUGCAUUCAUCCAAAUAUUCCAUUACUUUGUACACCUGCGGCUACCUAGGUGUCCCAACCCUUUCGAAUGCAUGUAGCCAUCUAGGUAAGCUUCAUACCACAUUCAAAUUCUCAAUUACCAGAAUGUGAGAGGCCUUCAUGAAUAUCCAAGGUACGUCUUCGAUAUUCCCAAUUACCAGGAGGUGAGAGAUCUUCAUGAAUAUUCGGGGCAUGUCCUCGAUAUUCCCCAUACCAGGAGAUGAGAGACCUUCAUGAAUAUUCAGGGCACGUCCUCGAUAUUCCCCAUACCAUGAGGUGAGAGACCUUCAUGAAUAUCCAAGGCACGUCCUCGAUAUUCCCAAUUACCAGGAGGUGAGAGACCUUCACGAAUAUCUCAGGUACGCCAUCGAUAUUCCCAAUUACCAGGAGGUGGGAGACAUUCACGAAUAUCUCAGGUAUGCCCUCGAUAUUCCCAAUUACCAGGAGGUGGGAGACCUUCAUAAAUAUCUCAAGCAUGUCCUCAAUAUUCCCAUUACCAGGAGGUGAGAGACCUUCAUGAAUAUUCGGGGCACGUCCUCAAUAUUUCCCAUACUAUGAGAUGAAAGACCUUCAUGAAUAUCCAAGGUAUGUCCUCGAUAUUACCAAUUAUCAGGAGGUGAGAGACCUUCACGAAUAUCUCAAGUACAACCUCAAUAUUCCUAAUUACCAAGAGGUGGGAGACGUUCAUGAAUAUCUAAGGUACGUCCUCGAUAUUCCCUUUUACUAGAAGGUAAGAGACCUUCACGAAUAUACGAGGUACGUCAUCGACAUUCCCAUUAUCAGAAGGUGGGAGACCUUCACGAAUAUCCAAGGUACGUCCUCGAUAUUCUCAUUGCUAGAAUGUGGGAGACCUUCACGAAUAUCUCAAGUAUGCCCUCGAUAUUUCCCAAAUUGCCAGGAGGUGGGACACCUUCACAAAUAUCCAAAGUAUGUCCUCAAUAUUUCCAAUUAUCAAAUACCCCUUUGAUACUUGUGAAUAUCCAAGUAUCCCUAAAGAAUUCUUACUUGUGAUCAUCCAAGUACCCCCUUUAAUGCCUAUGAUAAGCCAAAUACCCAUUUUGACACCUGCAAAGGCCCAAAUAUCUUUCAGGUUAGUACUUGUGAAUAUCCAGGUACUCUUUGAUAUGCCUGUGAAUGUCCAGGUAUCUUCCAAAAUCGAUACCCUGAAAAAGUUCAGCGCAUCCUCCCGAGAAAAGUCGGGUACCAGCUGUUAUCUUUGACAGAGGUCAGACACCUCCACAAAAUAGAUGCCUUGAAAAAGGUCGGUGUAUCUCCUGAGAAAGGUCAAGUACCAACUAGUGUCCUUGAUACAAAUCAAGCACCCACAAAUGAGAUGCCUUGAGAAAGGUCGGCGCAUCUCUCGUCAAGGUGACCGAAGAAAGGUUCGGGUCCUAGACCAAUCAUUAAUUGUUUUAAUAGGCGACCGAAGAAUGGUUCGGGUCCUAGAGAAGCAAUUUCCCAUCACGGCGACUGAAGAAUGGUUCGAGUUCUAGAGGAGCAAUUUCCCGUCAAGGCGAUCGAAGAAAAGUUCGGGUCUUAAACAAAUCAUUGAUUGUUUUAACAGGCAACCGAAAAAUGGUUCGGGUCCUGGAGAAGCAAUUUCCCGUCAUGGCGACCAAAGAAUGGUUCGAGUUCGAGACAAACCACUGAUUGCUCCAACAGGCGACCGAAGAAUAGUUCGGGUCUUGGAAGAGUAAUUUCCCGUCAAGGCCACCGAAGAAAGGUUUGGGUCCUAGACAAAUUAGUGAUUAUUUUAACAGGUGACCGAAGAAUGGUUCGGGUCCGAGACAAACCACUGAUUGCUCCAACAAGCGAUCGAAGAAUGGUUCGGGUCCUAGACAAAUCAUUGAUUGUUUUAACAAGCAACCGAAGAAUGGGUCAGGUCUUGGAGAAGCAAUUUCCCGUCACAACAACCGAAGAGUGGUUCGGGUUCGAGACAAACCACUGAUUGCUCCAAUAGGCGACCGGAGAAAGAUUCGGGUCCUAGACAAAUUAUUGAUUGUUUUAAUAGGUGACCGAAGAAUGAUUCGAGCCCUGGAAAAGAAACCUCCUCAUAUCACCAGGUAAGAUGAUACCUUGAUACUUGCCAAACUUAGGGUUCACAUCCUAUCCCACUCACUCCUAGUAAGUAACUAUAAGUAUCUUCUUAUAUGUCUUAAUAUAUGUAAGAUUAUAUUGCUAUUUUUGCAUAGGAUAAUAGGUCCUAAAUAAAAUAUAUUUUGCUAUGCAUGUAUGGAUAAAAUUUAGGCAUCAGUUUGUCUUUGAAUGCAACCUCUACGAGCUCACCUUCAAAGAGGAGUAGCUGUUGACGCCUAAAUUUUCCUUUUAAUUAGGUUUUUAUUUUAUUUUUAUUUUAUUUUUUUUGGAUAAAAAAUAAACCAAAAAACAAAAAAGAAACGAAAAAAAAUGGAAAAGAAGCAGAAAAACAGAAAAGCAGCAGCCCCUCCUCUAUGGGCCUCCACGGCCCAGGCAUAAGGCCCAGCCCCCCUUCGGUCGUCUCCUUCCUUGGCGCCUCUACAAUUCACGCGCUAGAGACGCGACGCUGGAGCAGGAGAGAGAAACAGUGAUGCACGUGGAGCGAAGAGCACGAGCAACAACGGGACAGGGAGUAGGGGGCAGUUGGCAUCGGAUGGGACGUCGAUUCGGCUAGCGAAGGCUAUGAUGACCGACGGUCGAACUCCGUCGACCGCCCGCCCCUCAGCCUAUAAAUAGGCCCCCAUUUCCGUCGUCGGAAAAAAAAGUCGAGGGAAGGAGGAGAGAGAGAGAGUGGCGAAGGGUUGAGGACUGCAGAUCCUCAAAACCUCCCAACUGAGAGACUUCAAACAUGGGGGCCAAGGACGAGCAGGCCGAGAUCUGAGGUCGCCUGGAGCAGGCGAGGGGGAUUCGGAGCAUGGAGGUGAGAGGAGAUCCCAAUUUGUGGGGGGGUGGGGGGUGCCNNNNNNNNNNNNNNNNNNNNNNNNNNNNNNNNNNNNNNNNNNNNNNNNNNNNNNNNNNNNNNNNNNNNNNNNNNNNNNNNNNNNNNNNNNNNNNNNNNNNGUGUCAAUGGCUUUCCAUGGAUUUUUCUUGUGAGGUUGUAUUUGGUUUGCUAGUGUGUUGAAGUGAGUCAUUGGAGUGGAGAUUUGAUUUUUAGUGCUUUCUGACUUGUUGUUCUGUUCGGACUAUGGAGCAAAACGCCUCCCUUUCUUCAUCGAAUUUUGAGUAGAUGAAUAAAAGUAUGUUGCUUCGUCAAUUCCUUGAGAGCUAAUGUUCAUAUAGAAAAAUAUGCUUGAUAAAUCAAGUGAUGCAGUAAUAUCAUCCACCUAUUAUAGAUGAGAUUACAGUAGAAUUUGGAUCCUAUCUAUAGAGGGAUAAACUAACAUUCGGUGUUGCAUUCAUAUAAUGAUGGCUCACGUCAUACCGAUCAAAGCAUUAUUUAGUAAUGGCGUGUCAUGCCAACACUUUCAAUAUGUUCAUUUAGUAUUGUCCAAGGCCAAGUGGACCAAUUGAUUGAUGUGGACUUUUCUACACAGGACUUAAUUAUGGACGCAGAUUCUGUUUUAGAGCCUAGCUUUGCACUUGUUUCAUUUUUUUCUAAAUACACUAGAAUCUUGUCACGAUCAUUUGCACAAUAAGCCAGUAAUGUAUGCGUUCGGAUCAUGUGAACCUAGCUCACGCAACUGUUAGAUUAGUGGGUUCUACAUGGGCCCACUUCAUCCAAUGGUACAUGUGAGAUGAGCUAACAUGCACUAAGGGCAUCUAAGAAUUUUUUUUCUUCUACAGUACUCGUUCUGCCUUAAAAGUGUUGAGGUGUGGCAUUUGAUUAGUUGUUUAUCCAUUACUUCAUCAAAUUUCGAAACAAUUAUCUUUUAAAUCCAUUUUUGGAUUCCUACAACUCUAAUGCCGCCAGAAAGCUCGACUCACUAUUGUUAGGUGUAAGUAUUUUUUGAUUUAGAUCCUUGGGUAUUUAUUUGAUCGUGUGUUUUCCUUGAAAAGGUGGUUAUGUGAUUUGAGACCAACAAGGGUGUCGGCCAAAUGAUAUCUUUUUGGAAAGCUUACAAUGAACUUAGGUGCUCAUGAAGUUCCGGGGUGAGAUGACGUAAUUCAAGGAAAUGAUGCUAACAUUUCAAUCUCUAUCUAUCUAUCAAUGGUCAUAAAAGUGGGUCAAACUCGCACGAUGAUGACUCACGUGGCGCACACUCGCGCGAGCUUGAUGCACUAAUUUGCUUUUGAUGUCAGUUAGAAAACCUAUAAUCUAAACCGAUGUCUAAUUUUAGCAAAUAUCUAAAUUUUAAUUUUUAUAAUGAAUUAUUACUGAUUAAAAAGAAAUAUUUAAAUAAGUUUUUCAAGGCAAUUAUCAAGUCAGUCCUAAACUUAUUAUGCCAAUUCAAACCUAAGCUUUCCGAUUUUAUCAAUUGAAUUGCUUGACAUUAGAAUUUCGCCCAUAAAAAUUAAUUAACAAAAUUAGGGAUUAUGACUUAGAUAUGUUAUGCGCAACCCAUUUAAGCUUCAAAAUCAAUUAUCGCCUGUGCUUUGUCGGAUAGAAUAGACAUCGAGCACUCUCCCCCAGAGAUACGGAGGUCAUCCAUCGUACGCACAGAGGCUGGACGAAGCGGACGGAGGAGUCCUAUCUCGGGCUUGAGUUUGGCCGGUCCGGGCUCUAUCAAGAGCCUAGUUCGAAUUAAUUCUUCUUAGGCCCAAAUUUCACUUGAAAGGAAAGCCAGGUCCACAACCUUGCAAGCCCAUGCAAACCCAGACCCAGCCGGCCCGGACAAAUGAAACCCUACCCGAAUAUGACCGGCGCCCGACCUAGUUCGUAGCCUCCUCUACUCCCCCACCACUAGAGUUGUCAAACGAGUGGGUCGGGUUGGGUCAUUAAUGGUCUGACCCAAAUUGACCCAUUAACUCAUUUAUAACACAUUUAUGCCUAAUGUAAAUUUUUCAACCUAUACCCGACCCGACCCAUACUCAACCUAUUUCACUAAACUUAAGAAAGCUUAUUUCUUAUAUAUAUAAAAUGGUAUUCCAAAAAUAGUUUUAUGCAACACAAAUUUAAUGGACAAUUUUUAUCAUUUUUAAAAUAAUUAUUUUAAAUAAUCGAAUUUAAUUAUUUUUAAUUAUUUUUAUAUUUUUUAAAUGUAAUUUUCUUUUUUCUUUUUUUCUUUUUCUUUCUUAUUUUUUGUUCUUCUUCUUCUUUGGCUGGCCACCGGCCACGACAACAGUCGGCGGCUAGCCAUAGGCGAGCCUCAAGCUCGCCUAGCUCGCCAACGCCGGCGAGCUUAAGCCUCGUCGGACGUUGGUGAGGCCUCCGCCUUGCCAGAUCCGGCGAGCUUGAGGCUCAUUGGCAUUGGGUGAGCUCGAGGUCGCCCCCCGCCGGAUCUGGCAAGGCUCAAGCCUCCCCAAAUCUAAUGAGGCUCGAGCCUCGCUGGUGUCUGGAGAGCUCGAGCCUCACCGGUGUCGGGUGAGCUCGAGCUCGCCCCUCGUUGGAUCUGGCAAGGCUUGAGCCUCGCUCGACACCGAUGAGUUCGAGUCUCGCCAAAUUCGGCGAGCUCAAGGCUCGCCUGGCCAAUCGUUAGCCAUCGCUGUGCCGAAGACCAGAGGAAGAAGAAAGAAAGAAAAAAAUAAAGAAAAAAGAAAAAAAUAAUUAUAAUAUUGGUUUUUAUAAAUAAAUAUAUAUAUAUAUAUAUAUAUAUUUGUAAAGUUAAAAAGAGAAGAGAGAGAUUGUUAGGUGUCGCGACCUACCCUCGGGGGGAGGGAAUAGGUUUAGGAGUAUUGCCUAAAGGACGGGCCUAAGGCUCAUGAUUAGGCGUGAGCUCUCCAAGCCCAUCCCCAUGUGAUAUUUGGAUAUUUCCUAUGAAUUUUGCACAAAAGGAGUUGCCACUAGCCUAUUGGGGUCGGCUAGAAACUAAGUGAGGCAUGGGAGUGUACCUCAGUUCCUACGCAACCAGAGAAUUUGGGGUCGGGGACUUGAUUACACUAAUUGGUCAAUUAAUGCACUUUCGGUACCUAAUCUUGUUCAUUUUAACAAAAUGAUUUUUUUUUUCAGGCAGUUUGGAUUGAUUUUAUAUUGCUCAAUUAACAUGUGAGGUAAUAAUGCGGGUGCGCAAUUAUUAAAAUAACAAUCAUAGCUACCAAUGUCCUAAUUGCAAUAAAAUUACACACAUACCAUUAAACAUAACAAGAUAUACAAUCUAAACAUGCAAUGUAAUCAAAAUAAAUGCACAAUUACACUUAAAACGACAACACCUAGCAAUUCCUAACCAAAUCCUAUCAUUUUUUGAAUUUUCGAAAUUUAAAAAAAAAAUAAUUAAUUUAAAAAAUCGAUUUUUUUUUAUAAAUUUUCUAAACCUUUUGAUUGAUGAUUUUUGUGUGUGUGUUUUUUCUAAUUACUACUGAAAAUUUCACACUUUCUGGAUUUUGGAAUUUUCUGAGAUUUUUUUUUUCCUUAAUUUUCUGAUUUUUCUCUUUCCUUUUUUUAAUUAAUUUUUUUAAAGAAAACUUGAAUUUUCAAUAUUUUCUGAGAUUUUUUUUUUUGAAAGUUUCUUUUAAUGUUCUUUGAAAGUUGUUGAUUUUUCGGAAAAAAUUUUUGAACUCCUUUUUUUGAAUUUUUUUUAUUAUUUUAACAUAUUUUUAGUAUUUAAUAUUAUUUUACUCGGUAAAACGGUUCCUGUCCGAGUAAACCCAGUCCGGCCCACAGACACGGCCCAAACUCUGGAUCCGACACAAUCGGAUCUAAAAGAAACGAAGCUUUCCUAUUUUUCGUACAUUUCUUUAAUUUUCUUUGUUUUCCUUUUUUAUUAAUUUUCUUUUACUCUACCCAGCAGGUCCGUCUUUCUCUAGUGCGCUUACAACUUUUUCCAGCACACAGAAUACUAAACUAUUCAACUUCAAACACCCCAACUUUCAACAACUUGUAUACACACGAGAAUAAUAUCCGCAUCUUCAACAAUCCUCGAUCACCAUCACUGGACUAACUCCACCAAACCCUUCGAGCUAACAUUUCGAACCGCCCAGCAAGCAAAAGAUGGGCUGGAGAAGAAAAGUAUGGCUGCAAACCCAAGAAAACCACACUCCAAGGCUAACUAGUCGAUUAAUAACGUGACGACACGCAAAUACAUCUUUGGAUUUGGCUAAACUAGCUCCCAAAUCUUGUUAAACCUACCGAGCCCAUUGCUCAACUCACGGCCAUUUCAACGCCAACUUCUCUUCUCAUGAACAAUUACACACACUUUUUCCAGUAAAAGGAGAACACCCAUGGAUUUACAAACCAACGCAUUCGAUUUUCAAACAGAAAAAAAUGCAUGGCCAUAAACUCACAUCUCAGGGAAACAAACGUAGACUACAUGAACUAAAGUCAAAAGUUAUGGCUUUUCUAAAAUAAUAAGAUGUUUUGAUUUGAAAGACCCUCUUCGAAUGAGGAGGCAGCUUUGCAGUCGACUAGAAUGCACAGCACAGAGACAGGUUUUCAUAGUUUUCGUUCAAGCAUUUCAUCGAGCAUGUAGCGGGCAAGAAAUGAGGAAAACGACGCUGGCCACUUCUUAGGACUCGGACUUAGACCUAGACCCGAGUGAACACAUGGAAACGCUUAACAUCAAACAAAUUGACUCAGCUGGACACAAUAAACUCAAGAAUCAGAGAAAACUCGCUUGGCUAUUCCACUACCAAAACAGGGCAGUGCCGGGAGAGUUCAUGGGAAUGAGUUUCAGUCAUAAACCCCUACCCGGCUCGAAGACGGCAGCACGAAGGCCAGUUCGAGACAAAUCGAACUUCAGUCGACCACCUCGCGAUAUCCCCGAGCCGAGAUCCUCGGGAACGAACAAUUUGGACAAAAAGGAAACUCACCGGAAAAUGCCGAGAUUUGGGGACGAAAAGUCUUGCUCUCGGGGGCGUCGGCUAGAAGUCAACAAUUGGCCUCGAGGAGGGGUGAGAAACACUCCACCCAAGUAGCUUCUAGCUUUCUCCCUAAUCGUCUCCUUCUCUCAAGCUUGCUCCGUGCUGGUUUUUUUUGUGUUGUUGUUUUCCUCUCGGUUCCGGUCCGCCCUACUCUCUGCUACCCUCAUUCGGUCUUAUACUUCUGUCUUUCCUUUUUCUGCAGGUAUUCCGAGCAAAGACCUCCUACCGUGCCAGCUGGUCGAUCGGUCUACUUCCCCAACCCACGGAUCGCGUCGAAAGCCUUGCCAUGCCGAUGCUCUGCCUUGCCUCCUCUUUUCUUCUCGUUUCUUUCCUUUUUGCUCUUUUUUUUUUUUUUGUAGGAACUUGCACGAAGACUACGGCCGAGCCAGUUGCCGGCAGGGUGCUCUCGACUUGCGAAUCAUGCCGCUUGCCUGCCACACCGAUCCUCUGCCGCCCCUGUUUUCGCUGCCCUCCUGCUGCUCUGUCUUCUGCAAGUCUUCGAGCGAAGACCGGCAGAAGAAAAGAAAAAGGGGCUGGGCCGGUCGGAAGGGAAAGGAGAUUGGGCUAGGCCCAGUGCGAGGGGAAGAAAAGAGAGGGGCGGGUCGAGCCAUGGUCAAAUCCGGCCCGACCCGACCAUUUUUUUUUUUAAUUUCGAUUUCUUUUUUGAUUUUUUUUUCGAAAUUUUUUUUACUUUUUUUUUUUAAUAAUAACCCUUUUUGUGACUAAUUCCUAACCUUUAACACUACUUUAAAUUAAUUAAUUUAGGUGAAAUUUAGGUGUCAACAUUAGGUUUUGGGUGAAAAUGGGUUCUAAAUCUAACCCAUUUAAGACCCAUUUAAGACCUACUUAAGACCCACAUAUCUUAAGUCUUUAGUUGUUAAACCUAUCUAACUAACUUCUUAAAAAACUAAGUGAACCAUAUAUGACUCAUUUAUGAUUUAAAUUGGUCAUAUAUGGGUCUAUGACCUGUUUUGCCACCUCUACCCACCGCGAACCCCAACAGAGAUGGCUGCGGUGAGCGACGGCGGCUGGCCCAGUAUUCUUGGUCGCGGUGGCACAGCAAGCAGGAUCGGUGGUAAAUCGGCGAAGCAACUGGCAGCAGUGUCGUGCCAGCAACAACCGUCGGCUGCAACAUGGCCUGGGUCUCCAUGGCUUGGCCGAGAUGGGGCUCUCUCUCUCUGAGAUCUCCUCUACGACCUCCGCCCUCUCGGUGCUCUCCCUCUACCUUCACCCCCUCCGCUCACUCUCUCGGGCUUCUUGGAUGUCUCUCCAAAGAAACCUCUCCGCUCUCUCUCCUCCACCCUUCUUUUCUCUCUCUUUGGCUCCCCCAUCAAUAUUACAGUUUCGUCUAGGGGUUCUCGCAUUUCCUCUAGCAGGCUUCUUAACGAAUCAACUACCAUUUUCUAUGUCCAUUAUCAUGAGCGUGUUUUUCUCAUACCUUUGAUCAGGAGCAUUCCUUAGUAUAAGUAGAUCAAUUCUUGCCAGCUACCUAUGUUAUGAUCGUAACAAUGCUACUUAUUCUCCCUUUCCAAACAUUUAGAAUAGCCCACGUUGUGCUCAGAACUUGGACAAUUUGUACAAGUAUCAAAGUUCAGCUGUUCCAGAAAGCAGGAUACUCAUCUCUUUGCCUGGUAAGGACAUAAGCAGGAUACUGACACUCUGUUCUUCAACUUUAUCUUAUUGAUAGAGUUCCUUGUGCUUCCUAGUGCCUCAGCUUGUAUAUUUUAUCUUGUAACGGGAUUGCUCCCUGCUUCUGUGUUUUUCGCUGAAUAAAAUCUUACUUAUCAAAGUAAAAAAGAAAAGAUGAUGUCUGAUUACGAGUCGUGAUGAUAAGUGACUUACUUAUCUGAAUCUGAUGUUGUCCAGCUCGAUUCUUCCUUUGAUUAUGUCUCGCUUUCCCCAAACCCAAUCUUUUUUCAUCUUCUAGUCUCCAUGUGUGUUUACACGCGCCGCUGUAGUUCCUUUUGAUAAUAACAUUCUAUUAUCAAAUCUCUAUUGCUUUGUAGUGAUCUUUCAUAAUUGUUUGCGGAUAUUACUGGGGCGUCCCUAAGGCUAUUUCAGACUGAGAGUAAAGAGGCGGAAGCACAGUAGAAUCUUGUUAAGUGUAAGUUCUGUUCUGUUUAGAUACUUGGGUUUUGACUUGAGGAGCUUUUGUAAUUUCUUCGUUAGACUUUUUUUAUUUUCCUGCAAAUCCGGUCAGUUAAUUACAUAUAAAGAGUUUGGUUUAUUUUAUACACCCCACUAGAUCCAAAUUCCAGGCUUCAACCCUGCUGCUAAUGUUGAUUAUUUCUUGUAACUCCACGCACGUAUGAAAUGGACCAUUUUUAUUUUUUUUUAAUAUAACACUAAGAUGUGGCUAUGUUCAUUCGAGACGAACAGCCCUUUUGGGCAAAUGAUUUCUUACAGGAAAGCUUACAAUAAACCUAGGUGCUCACGAAGUUUUGGCGGGAGAUGAGCUACUUCAAAGAAAUUAUACUUGCAUGAAACUUUCGAUGUGAAUUUAGUAUCCAUUAAUUUGUCUAUAUAUAUAUAUAUAUAUAUAUAUAUAUAUAUAUAUAUAUAUUUAUAUAUUUAUAAAUAAGUGGGCAAAACUCGUGUAAGGUUGACUCAUACAAUACGCUCAUGUGCAAGUUUUAUCCAUUUCUUUACUUUUGAUAUUGUGACAUCCCAGAUUUUCAGUCUUGUUUUCUAUUGAAUAAAUCGGGCAUUUCAUUGACGCGUCUAUAGGGCUGUUCUCAGAACUGAUCAUUCUAGAGAUAACUAGACUAUCUGGGGAAACUAUUAAGAAUUUUAAGGCAAAUAGACUUGAGAACUCGACCAGGAAUGGGCUACUCGACCGUAUUCAUCUGCUGAGAUCAUUACGGCACAGACGUAAAUUGAUUAGAGAUGAAAUAUAGGUCGGUUCGACAGAGAUGUGUGGCUAAUCGUGGGUGACACCACUAAAUUGGAAAAUUCUCGCCGGCUGACACUAGAUUGAAUUUUCUAUCGUUUUGGUACCCUGUGUUCGUAUUUGAAUUCUCGAGAUUUCUACGACAAUCGAAAGUUGCCAAUGUGUCGAGUGGGUUCAUUGUGGCUCGAAGAAAAUCAACCACGGGUCAUUUGCACUAAAAAGUUCUGAAGACUACCCGGCAGUCUAGGUCACGCUAAAAACGCGUCGAAUGGAAAUUAACCGUGAAUUCGAACCCGAUUUUAGAAAUCGAAAGUUCUGUGAUGUCACGAGCUAUUUUAGGAAUGUUGACUCAGUCUCAGAAGAAUUUUUGGAGAUUCCGGGAUUUUUACGGAAAAUCAAUUCGAACGUGCGGAGAAUAACGAAAAUUCGGAUGGGCUCAAUUGAAGAAAAUUUGUUCUAAAACGAGCUACUAGGUGAUGGGAAUUUGUCGAAAUGUUUGAGAUUUUUCUUCGACGAAAUUGGACUUCGAAUUGGUGAAGUUGGGGAUAAAAUCGAAGCCAAAGUUUAAUGAAUUAAGGCAGCAAUUAUUGGACUUCAAGAUUGGAUUAUUGAUGAAUUUUAUGCAAGAAGGUAAUAAGAAACAUUGAGAUAAGUUGAGGGCUAGUUGGGGGACAAAGCCUUCAAUUUAGUGGAUAAGUGUGAUGACUUUUCUUUCUUUUAUUUGAGCUUCUUCAGCAAGUCUCGCCGGUCUCUCUCUCUUCCCCAUCCACUCGCGUUCGCGGAAUCCCCCUGACCGACAGCCUCUGCAGGAUUAUCUUCUUGGGCUUUAUUACAUUGACUAGAGUCAAUGUUUAUCCCUCAUUCAGCCGACAUCACUUAGCUGUCUUUCUUUUCUUUUUUCUUUUAUUCUUUUCAUUGAUUCAAAGGAAGAAGCAGCUUCUUCAUUUCUCUUCUCGCGAUCACCCCCACCGAACAUCCCCCACAACUCUUGGCCACACGUCCGCUGCCCAGCCAUCUUCGAUCAAUCUUUAGCAAGCGAGACCCCUGCUCUUGAAUCCAUCAUUUCAUCGACUCAUCCACCGCUUCACUUCCGCCCGCCAGCUGCUCCAAUUUCAUCAGUUUGCUCUCAACCAAAGCUAUUCCAGCUUCGACUCUGCCACGCCCGUGACGCCACGCUGCAACUCUCUUCGUCCGUUUCCUCUCGACGCGUCUCUUUUGGCCCAAGCGAAGCUGCUCCUCCAUCAAGUGUCUUCUGCCAGGCGUCCUCUUCAGUCAACAACCGGAAGCACUGAAGCCUCUUUGUUGACCGAUCAACACACGUGAAUCUCUCCACCAGCUCAACGCCAGCAAGACCGAAGUCCAUCGUCUUCAUCCAAGUCUCCAUGCGUCCCCUGCUGGUCAAACGAAGCUGCCCCUUCUCCCGAUUGUUGACCACCGAAGCUCACGCGGCUUCAAUCCACCGAAUCCCCAUCGCCAGCUCACGUCCAAGUCUUCGGUCAAUAGAAAAUGCCCGCAAGAGCCUGUGUUGACUCCAUCGACGAGAGUCCUUCAAGCUACGGCUGUCCGCUCCAUCUCUCGGCAACGGCGCCAGCUGCAUCUCCACGGACGUCUUCGCCAGCAGCUGCUUCCGUCCAAGCGUCAUUAGCUCGCGUGUCUUCGGCCAGUUGAAUCCUCAAAGCCCAGCAGCAAAUCCAGCAACUUUUGUGGACCAUCUACCAACGAAGCUGAAGCCUGGCAAGCCCACGUGAAUCUUUCUUGUGCAGCCCAGUGAAGCCUGCACAUUCGGUCCAAGCCCAUCUCAGCCUGUGAAUUUCAGUCCAGCUUUGAAGCCUGUGAAAAUAGGCCCACUUGAAGUUCAGCCCAUUGGAUUUUAAGCCCAGCGAAAUUUGUUGGUUCAGCAGCCCAUCUCAGCGAAGCCCAACAAAAUUAGAAGCCCGCGAAGCCAAGCCCAAGCCCAGAAAUUUCUGUGGGCUUGCGAGGCUUGUAGGCCCGGUCCAAGUGUCCGUCGACGCCGCCGAAAGUUCGGGUUUCGGCCGCCGUCGCAGUGAUCCGGUCCUCGCUUUUAAUCAAGUGAGUAAUCUCACUAAUCCUCGCUUAGUAGACUAAUGAUGCUUAAGGGUUGAUUAGAUUUAAUUAAGUGCAAUUAGGUGGUUAGAUUAGUUUAAAGCAAUUAAAUUAGUGACUUAAUGAUGCAUGUUAGGUGAUUAGACUUAGUCAUUAGCAAGUAGAGACGUACUAUUAUUUAUUGAAUGCAUCUCGGGAUUUUUCCCGACCCUUAGUGGGCUUCAAUUAGGCAUUACGGGCCUAAAUUGGAUUUUUAGUAUUUAUUUAUUAAUUUUCGAAAUUAAUUAUUUAAUUAUUUAUUUUUCGGAAAUUAGGCAAUGAUAGCCGACGACCGAAAUUUCGUGCUGAUUGUCGUGGUGUAGUCCGUUUAUUUAUUUGAACUCUACAUUGUGCUAAAUUGAAUUAAUUGUGCAAUUUGAGGAAUUAUUCCUAAAUUGAUUAAGAUUGAGUAAUUGAAUUGCGAAUGGCCGAGUACGAUUGUUUAGCGUCAAUAAUGCUUUGAUGGGCUAUUAAGUGGAGAAGUUUGUGAGAGUAAAUUGAAUAUACUUUUGGCAGAGAUCCAUCGGGUACAUUAAUAUCGUGUGAAAAUUGAGUGAGUUGAUGAAUAUGUGGAGAUUUAUCCCAAGAUUGAUCAGUGUUGGUAUUUAAUUAGAAUUUGACUAUGAAAGGUUGUGAGUAUGGCUGUGCCAGUGGGGCUGAGUUUUGCCACCGAAUUUGGAAUCGGUCGCACCCGUUGGGCCGUAAAUUGCCACCUAUUAAAGGUCGCGCCUGUUGAGGCCGUAAUUUGCCACCCGAUAGGGGUCGCGCCUGAUAAGGCCGUAAUCUGCCACCUAUUAAAGGUUGCGCCCAUUGGGCCGUAAUUUGCUACCUAAAGAUAGGUCGUGUCCUUUGGACUGUAAUUUGUUGCCAAGAAAUUUGGUAGUCUAUGCUCGUGAAGUCGUGAGUACGAUUAGAGACUAAAUAAGGGAAACGACUAGGGAAUAGUCGAAUUGACAUGAAAUCGACUAGGUCAAUGGAUCGAAAUAUUAAUCUAUGAUGUAAUUGCUUAGGUGCCUAUUGAACUGUACUAAUAUGCAUGUGGAAUCUGAGGCCAAGGUAAGUCCUCUGACCAGUGCUUGUAUAGGCAGCCUGGUUAGCGUAUUUGUUUCCUAAUCGAGUCUUAGUGGGGUAGAACUUGCUGAGACGUAGUCUCAUCCCGGUUGUGGGACAACAUUUCAAGACCCUGAUGAGGAGCCUGAGGAGAAAGAAACCGAAGAGGAGUACCUGGAGGAGAACCCCGAUGAUGAUCUGAGUACGAAUCGGAUGAGAACUGAAAUCCCGUCAUCUUUUAGGAAUCCUGUCUAAAUGUGAAUAAUGUGAGACUAGAAUGUUAUGAAUAGUCUUGUGAUUAGACUUCGAGUUAUGCCAUGUAUAAAAGUUUGGUUGUGGAUUUCAAUAUGAAAAAUAUGGCCUUACUUUUCUAUCCCAUUGUGUUACUGUCUGGGGAUUUAUAACUGCUUCCGCAUGUGCUUAAUAAAAAGAAAGGGUCGGCGAUACUUAGUCCUGGGAUAUCACAUUAUAAAAUCGACCAAGUAGAAGGAUGUGUGCGUGCCCAAGGAUCGGGGCGUGACAGAUAUUCAAUUUCGCAACUUCUAAUACUAGCAUAUUUAAAAUUUGAGAAAAUAUCUAAUUCAACAUCUUUAAUUUAUUUUGCAUAUUUUGAGAAUAAACUUCUUUCAAUUUGCAAGAAAUAAAUGCUCAAGGAAAUUAAAUAUGUAUAUGUAGAUGCUAUUGAACUAUUUAUGUAUAUAUGGAACAUUGUUGUAAAAUAUUGUAUUGUUGUAAAAUAUUGUGUUGCAAAUAUAUAAUAGAGAGAAUAAAGAGAUUGGGAAGAGAAAGAAGGUAAACACCAAAGAUAGUAGAGAAAGCUAGAGGAGAUAGUUUUAUCUCCAAUGUAUCAUAGAAUAUCUAUGACAAAAACUAAGCUCCUAUUUAUAAGAAAAUAAGGAUGUGCUUAUCAUUAAUAUCAAUAUAUCGAAAAAUACAUGUAUUGGAUAGAGAGAUGAACAUUCAUUAUAUAGGAAGAUGUACUUAUAAUGUAUGAUACAAAUGUAUCAUAAUAAGUACAUUAGAUAAGAUGAUUAUAAUAAAUAUUUAUUCAUGUAUUUCAUAACACUCCUCCUUGAAUAUUCAUUGUAUUCAUUGCGAGUAUGCAUCGAAUGAUAUUGCCUCAUUAAAAACCUUAAUCCAAAAAAACCCAAGGGGACAAAAACCAAACAAAAGGGAAAAAGAGUGCAGGGCACAAAUUUUAUGAUCUAUCCAUUUUAUGGAUGCAUUAAUUGUCUCAUUAAAAACUUUAAGCCGGAAAAACCCUAUGAAAAAAAACCAAACAGAAAGGGAAAAAAAGUGCAAUGCAUAGUUCAUAAUAUCUCAUCCUCAAUUGAGCCAUAUAGCCACUACUGGGGCUAGUCAAUCUUGCAUCUUGUGAAAUCGUCGCAUACCAAUGCUAUAUACUAAUUUAUCAAAACUUGACAUAGGCAAUGAUUUGGUAAAAAAAUCUGCAAGAUUAUUUAUAGAUCGAAUCUAUUUAACAUCAAUUUGUUGACUUUCUUGGAGUUCAUGAGUAUAGAAAAAUUCCGGUGAGAUAUGCUUAGUUCUAUCACCUUUGAUAUAUCUUCUCCUAACUUGUGCAACACGAGUAGCAUUAUCUUCAUAAAUUAUAAUGGGAGAAUUUGUAACCGAUAUUAAACAACAAGAAUUAUGAAUAUGCGUUAUAAUGGAUCUUAACUAAACACACUCUCUUCCAGUUUCAUAUAAAACAAUAAUCUUAGAGUAGUUAGAGGAUGUAGCUGCUAGCGAUUGCUUCGUAGAACGCCAAGAAAUAGCUGUGCCGUUAUAACAAAAUAAAUACUCGGUUUGAGAGUGAGCCUUAUGUGGUUUAGAUCUAUAUCUACCAUGAGCAUAUCCAACUAAAUUAGAGUUAGUGGAAUCCUUGGAAUAAUAUAAUCUCAAAUCUACAGUUCCUUGAAGAUAACAUAAAAUAUGUUUAACUCAAUUCCAAUGUUUCUAAGUUGGCUCAGAACUAAAACGUGCCAAUAAAUUUAAUGCAAAAUAGAUAUCUGAUCUCGUGCAUUGUGCCAAGUACAUCAAAACCCAAAUUGCAUUGAGAUGUGGUACUUCAAGACCAAAUAUCUCUUCAUCAGAUUCUUUAAGACAAAAUGGGUCCUUUUGGGGAUCUAGAGACCUUACAACUAUAGGGGUGCUCAAUGGGUGAGCUUUGUCCAUGUUUAAGCAUUUAAGCAACCUUUCAACAUAUGUUGAUUGAUGGACGAUUAUUCCAUUUGCUUUAUGCUCAAGCUUUAGAUCAAGAUAAAGUUUGGUUUUACCCAAAUCUUUAACUUCAAACUCCAUUUUUCAAAUACUCAACAGUUUUAGCUAACUCUUAUGAGUUCCAAUUAAAUUUAUAUCAUCAACAUAAAUUGCUAUAAUAGCAAAUCCAAUUUCUGAUUUCUUAAUAAACACGCAUGGGCAUAUAUGAUCACUCUUGUACAUUUCCUUAAUUAGGUACUCACUUAGGCAUUGAUACCACGUACGAUAAGAUUACUUUAACCCAUACAAGGAUCUUUGCAAUUUUAUUAAGAAUAAAUUGCGGGGAGUGCAUGCUUCAGGCAUUUUGAAUCCCUCGGAAAUUUUCAUAUAAAUAUUAGAGUCUAAUAAGCCAUAUAAAUAUGUCGUCACAACGUCCAUAAGACGCAUUUCCAAUCUUUCAGAGAUUACUAGGCUAAUGAGAAAACAAAACGUAAUCAUAUUCAUCACAGGUGAAUAUGUCUUAUUAUAAUUAAUCCCAGGUCUCUCAAAUAACCCUUGGGCAACGAGUACCUGACAACCUCGUUUUUCUCAUUUCAUUUUCGAAUAAAUACCCAUUUAUAUCCAACGGGCUUUACAUUAUCGGGGAUACGAAUUACGAGUCCAAAAACCUCUCGUUUAGUUAGGGAAGCUAAUUCAGCCUUAAUUGCUUCCUCCCGCUUAGGCUAAUUUUGCCUUUGACAACAUUUGAUAAUAGAUUGCAGCUCACAAUCAUUAUCCAUAAUUUUAUGAGCAACUGAGAAUGCAAAAGCAUCAUCAAUGAUGAUUUCAUUUCGAUCCCAAAUUUCGUUACAAUAUGUAAUAGAAUUCUUAGUAUUCUUAGUAUUCGUGUUCCUUUCAUGGGUUUACGCCUCUUUAGGGGCAAUAAGCUCUUUCGGAGCAAGCACAACGCUUGGCUCAUCUGGAGCGGAUUCUUGAUUCUUUCCCCUUCGUUUUCGAGGAGCAGUAUCUUUUGAUUCUAUUAGUCUACCACACUUCAAGUGUGGAGGAUUUUGAUCCAUUUUAACCUGUUCUUUGGGAACAACUAUCCUAGCUGGAGCAUUUGCAGUUGGAAUAUGAGACUUCGUUACCUUAGUAUCAUCAUUAAAUGCAUUAGGAAGUCUACUGGCCAUAGCAUGUAAAUGAAUUAUGCGUUGCACCUCGUUUUCACAUUUAGGAGUACUUGGGUCUAAUUGAGAUAAUUUUUUCUCAUUCUAAGAGAAAACCUCAACUGGUUUUUGUUUUGCAGUCAUGGAAGUUGUAGGUAUCCCAAUUGAUGGAAACAUAGUCUCAUCGAAAUGACAAUCUGCAAAUCUAGCAGUAAAAAGAUCACCGGUAGUUGGUUCCAAGAACCUAAUGAUAGAUAGUGAAUUAAAUCCAAUAUAAAUGCUCAAACGGCAUUGGGGACCCAUUUUUGUUCUUUUUGGCGGUGCUACAGGACUUGUAUUGCACAACCAAGGGUGCGUAAAUGUGAAAUAUCUGGUUCAUAACCAAUAACCAUUUGAAGGAGAGAUUGUAAAAGACUAACAGUGGAGCAUAGUUUUAUUAAAGCUGCCGCAUGCAAAACUGUAUGACCCCAUGCCAUAUCGUUGAUAUUCGUUCUCAAUAAUAGAGUGUGGACAAUUAUUUAGACAUUGUUUAAUAAAAGGAUUUUGCCAAUCCAUUUUGAGUAUGAACAUAUGUAACCGAGUACUCAACUUCGAUUCCGAGUGAAGCACAAUAGGUAUCAAAACUCUUUGAUGUAAAUUCACUAGCGUUAUCCAUUAUUAUGCUCUUAAUUAGAUAAUCAAGGAAUUGUGCCCGGAGUUUUAUAAUCUGCGCAUGUAAACGUGCAAAUGUGACAUUGCGCAUAGAUAAUAGGCAAACAUGAGAUCAUUUACAGGAUGCGUCCAUUAGUACUAUAAAAAUAUCGAAAUGGUCCAUUUGGUGGUUGUAUUGGUCCACAAAUAUCACCCUGAAUUAUUUGCAAGAAUGAAUGUGAUUCAAAAUUAACCUUUGUUAUAAAAGAUUUNNNNNNNNNNNNNNNNNNNNNNNNNNNNNNNNNNNNNNNNNNNNNNNNNNNNNNNNNNNNNNNNNNNNNNNNNNNNNNNNNNNNNNNNNNNNNNNNNNNNNNNNNNNNNNNNNNNNNNNNNNNNNNNNNNNNNNNNNNNNNNNNNNNNNNNNNNNNNNNNNNNNNNNNNNNNNNNNNNNNNNNNNNNNNNNNGAAUGUGAUUCCAAAAUUAACCUUGUAUAAAGAAUUGAUAAUGAGUUUUUCUGUGAACCAAGCCUCACAAUUAUAAUCUUUGGACAAUAAUACAUUUGUAUCAUUUAAAGGGUGUCCUUUUGUAUUCUGAAUUAUUCUAUGCAUCAUUGAAGCACCAGGGUGGCCAAGGUGAUCAUGCCACAGUCCAAACUGAUCAAAGGUUUACCAAUCUCUAGGAUGUGGUGGCGUAGGUUUCAAUAGCCUUAAUCAUGACAUAAUACAAACCCAUAGAAGAAACUUCUAGCUUCUCAUGGAUGGUUUUCAGGCUCAUCUUAUAAGAGGAAAUGUCAAUAUAUUCUUUAUCUUGCUCAUAAAUAGUCUCAAUAUGGUACCAAUUACGGCGUACAUCGUUGAAUUGAGCAUAUUUCUUUUUGAUUUAAUGCUUAGAAACGCAUCCUCAAUAUGCAAGAUGGUGCCAUUUGGCAAAACAAUUGUGGCAUUCCCAAAACCAUCAAUAAUCGGAACAUGACCUGAUAUUGUAUGGAUUUGUGUCUUACGUAAUGUCAUACUCGAGAAAAAAUGUCUACUACAAAAUAUAGUAUGUGUUCUUGCACUAUCAAGCAAACAAACAUAUUCAUUUUUCUCGGUAUUUUCCAUUUGCAUUUAUAUUGAUAACUUCAGGUGUUAAGUAUCAUAAAAUUUGCAUAUUAGUUAUAGAGUCAAAUAAAAUUUCAAAAUAAAUAUUAUAUAAGGUUCAUAAACAUUUCAUAACCAUAUUAAAUAACAAUAAAAAGUAAUACAAUUAAAUCAAAACAACUAAAAAAGAAAUUAUUAAAAUCAUAGAAUUUGAAGUUCAAAUUAUCAUCCACCAAUCUGAUGUUUUAUCAAAGUAAUCGGAGGUCAAAGAAAUCAGAGACAUCUAGGAAUGCAUUUGCUACUUCAGGAGUAAGAGGAGUUCUACCAACGGAGAUAUUAUUGGCCUCAACAGUGGUUAUGGCAGUAGGAUUGAUUUCAAUGGCAUGAGAUUCACUAAGCUUGCCCGUAUUUUUUAAAGAUGCCCGGUAUAGGUCAACAAAGUGCUUUGGCGUCUGACAAGUAUGUGACCAAUGUCUAGUCAUGCCACAACGAUGACAAAUACUUUCAUUAAUCACCUUCUUAGGCUUAUUUUCUUUGUCAUGAUUUAGGCCAAAGUUAGAUUUCUUAGGGCAGUAAAAUUUCCUACCAUUCUUUCUAGAAUUAUGUUAUUGCCUGUGCUUAUAGCCCUUAAAAUGACCAAUAUUUUUUUCAAAGUUAGCAUGUGAUUCAAGCAAUGCUUUAGAGCCAACAAGUCUAAGAUCAUGAUUUUUGAGUAGUAAUUCAUUAGUUUAUUCAGCAGUAAGAAGCACAUAAAUUAAUUCAGAUUAUGUGGCAAACCGACGUUGCUGGUAUUGCUGUUGCAAUACAAUAUUCGAAGCAUGAAAAGUGGAUAAAGUUUUCUCUAACAAUUCCGCAUCAGCGAGUUUGAUACCGCAUAACUCAAGCCGAGAAACAAUAUCAAAUAAAACGGAGUUAUAGUCAAACACUGAUUUAAAAUAUUGCAGUAUGAGAUUUUGCCAGUCAUAUUGUGCUUGAGGGAGGAUAAUAGUCUUGGUAUGAUCAUACCUAUCCUUCAACUUCAUCUACAAGAUCUGAGGGUCUCGAACGGAUAAAUAUUGAGUCUGCAGGCUCUCAUGCAAAUGACGAUGAAUAAAAAUCAGCGCAUUUGCUUUAUCUUUUGCAUUUGAGGUUCAUCCUCUGCAAUUGCAUUAGCGAGACCUUGCCAUUGAAGCUGCAUUUCCAUGUCAAGGCACCAUGAUAGAUAAUUCUUUCCACUCACUUCCAGGAGUGAUCUUGAUUGAUCCAUUUUACUAUGUUGUUAUCUCGUGAAAUAGAGUUAUGUUAUUGCUUAAUCAUAAUUUAUUUCUAGUUCAUUAGUAUAGCAGCCUGGUGAGGAUGCGCCAAUUUCGUCAACCAACCGGUCCAUAUUGGAGAAUUGGAAAGUAUUCAUGCUUGAUGGAACCCAGGAAAAUUUCUCCAAGCGUCGANNNNNNNNNNNNNNNNNNNNNNNNNNNNNNNNNNNNNNNNNNNNNNNNNNNNNNNNNNNNNNNNNNNNNNNNNNNNNNNNNNNNNNNNNNNNNNNNNNNNUCGCCCUCGUUGCCGUCGAAUGCCUCCGCUGCUAUUGCCUUCAAUCUGGCAUCAUCGCCGUCGCCGUCGCCGUCCCCAUUCGAGAGAAGGUAAAAAAAUCGUUGCCGUUACCGUUGCUGUUCAUCGUAGCUGUUUCCCGUUGACCUUGCCGCCGUCGCUGCCACCGUUGUCACCUUCGUCGUCACUGUUGCCACCGUAGUAGCCGUCACUGCCAACGCCUCGGUUCCCGUCCUCGGCGCUGCAGAUUCGCAAACCCUAGGGUUUGCAAUUUUCCGGGUCGCGAAGUGGAUCUGGACUCGGAAAACCGGGUAGGGUUUGUAAUUUGGGCACGGCAGGAAUCGGGUCGCAAUUCGGGUCGAAUUCGGGUAGGGUUUUUGCAGGGGAGCCGAGUCGUGGAGCGAGUUGUCGGAGCAGAUCGUCAAGCCAGGCCGGGUGUCCUCGAGCGCUCGACCAUGAAGCUGUUUCAUGAAAAAAAAAGAGAGAGAAAAAAUCUAAGUCGGGCCCGCAUUUUCCAAAAAAAUAUUUAAAAUAUUUAAAAAAAUUUCCGAAGAAAUAAAAAAAAUCAAAAAUAUUUCAUAUUUUCAAAAAAUGCCAAAAAUUCAUGAAAAAACCAAAAAAUUCAUAAAAAGCCAAAAAGACUUGUAUUUUCCAAAAAAUACCAAAAAAAUCCCAAAAAAAAUCCCUUUUGUGUCAAAAAAAUAGAAAAAGACCCAAAAAAAUGUUUUUCAUCCCUUAAAUUGCAUGGGAAAUCCCUUAAACAUCCAAAGAACCUUAGGAUUUAAACAAGAUUAGGUAUCGAAAGGGCACUAGUGAUUAACUAGUGUAAUCAAGUCCCUGAUCCUAAUUUCUCUAGUUGCACAAGAAUGAGUAUUUCUCCCGAUACUUCACUUGAGUUUCUAAUCAACCCACUCCAAAUCGAUUAGUGGUGACUCCAUUUUAAAAAUUGGUUUACAGGUUAAAAACUUAAACUAUUAAAGUCGUGAAUUGGUGGACUUAGGAGAGUCCAGGCAUAACUAAAUUCAGUUAAGCCAUUAGCCUCCGCCGACACUCAUACCCGAUUGCGGGCGCCGAAAAAAAAGAGGUCGCGACACAAUUUUACCCCAAAUUAAUUUUAUAAUCACCAAAAGUCCCAAACUGGUACAUUUGUAAUAAAUUUACCUUCCCUUUAUUUUUUGUUAAAUUAGAUUAAUACCACACAAAAAAAAACCCUAAAUUACUAUACUUGUGAUAAACGGAAGGUAAAACCCUAAAUUGGUACACUCGUCAACUGUCCACAUGUCAUCUAACUUAGAAAUUCAAUGGUAAAAUUUAAUGGAAACUAGGAUAAAUUUGUCAUAUGUGUUUUGUGGUAAAAAAAAAAUAGUUUUGGAUAAAUUAAUCAUUAAUAUACUAGUUUGGGAUUUUCUAUAGUAUUAAUAUAUAUAUAUAUAUAUAUAUAUAUAUAUAUAUAUAUCAUGUACUAUUCGCUAGAAGGCAAAAGAGUGUGCUCCUCCUUUUGUGAUAUUGUAGUCAAGACUUAUUGGAAGCACUCUCCAAAUAAGAUUUUGAAUCCACCAAACCAAAACGAAAGAAUGCGCUCUUAAAAUUAUUCGGAGAGGUGGAUCAUUUGAGGUGCACAAAAAUUGGCGUGGACAACAUCUAACCACUAAAAAAAAAAAAAAAAACCUUUGGUUCUCAAAACUUACUCAUAACUUUUGCCAGUAGUUGCACUUUUUUUGCCAACUUCACCCAACUUUUGUAUGCACCCAAAAUACCCAUUAGCCCUUGCCACUAAUUCUUCUAUUUUUGUGAAGCUACAAUGAAGGUGUUCAGUUUUACCUGAAGUUUAUUUGGAUUUCACCUUAUGUUAAGAGGUUGAUGACAUUUUCUGUGGAGAAUCGCCUAGAAAGGAGUUCUCAAGGUUUUUUUUUUUUUUUUAAGGUAAGCUCAAUUAAUAAAUUGGGUGAUCAGAAUUUUGAACCGCAAUUGUAUGUGUAGUGUAGUGCUAAAGCUUGUAAAAACACAUUUGAAUUUAAACAUCUAGCAUUUCAAUAUUACCCCACAUAUAUUCAAAUAUCCUUACACCACCUACAAGAUAAAGUGGUUUACAAACACGCCACCCCUUAUAACUCUCACCUACAAUACCAUUUAAUACAUGGUUAGCGACUAACCUCAUUUUCCAUGCGAUUUUAACAUGCAAGUAAUCCUACAUAGGACACAUUAGUUAACACGAUAAUUAUUUUUAACGGCUUUAAGUCUUCUUAAUCUAGUAACCUAUCCCUAGUUGAGUCAUCAAGCCUAUUACGACCCGAUCUCACCAAACAUAUUUUCAGGAAAAUGGAAGAUGAAAACAUAAUACAAUUGUCAUUAAAAUAUUUUUGUGAACCAAAUGCACCCAAAAUACGUUGAAAGAUUUGAUAGUGAUAUUUUCUUUUUAGAAAAGAGGUGUAUGUUGACACCCGAAUUUUUAGGUGUCCGUCCAUUUUUGCAACAAUAAAAAAAAAAUAGUAAUAAAGAAUGACAAAAAUAGUAAUAAAAUUCGGAUCCAGCUCAUUCUCUUCAACAAGUUUUGGGCCUGCCAAGCCCAUGCGCAUAGCCCUCCUUCUAGCGCCACUCUUUUUACUUCUUCUGGGUCCAAAUUCAUUUCUUUUCCUUCACCCACCUUUCCUUCAUUUAUUCUUUCCUGAUUCUGAGUCCAUUUUUGUUCUCUAAACGCCCGGCCCCUUUCGUUAUGUUCUUCUCCUUCGCACACGCUCACGUUGACGAGACUGUGAUGCAGAUGCGAUGACAGAAGCAAAAAGGGACGCGCGCGUGGCUUGUGAGAAGAGCACGGUGAGGCGCUGGUGUGACGGAAGAAAGGAUUCUGUUUGGUGAGGGGAGAGGACGUUCGCUUGAGGUGUGCUGGGUCAGGCCGAGAAAGAAAGGAGGCGAGGGAGAAAAAGAGAGGCUGAACCAGGGAGAGAAGGAGAGAAGGAGAGAAGGAGGAUGUUCGCAGAAUGAGAACCAGAGAGAGAGAGAGAGAGAGAGAGAGAGAGGAGCAGGAGCUGAAAAGGGAAACCGAAGAUUUUUUUUUUUUUGGAAAAUUGGCAAAAAUCUGCUGAUUUCCUUCUGUUCUGGUCCUCGACUGGCGGGAGAACAUGUUUCGCGACCAUGGGCCACCAUCUCCGUCCGUGGCUGACCGAAGGCUUGCGUGCAUUAAACUCGUUCCUCAGACGAAAAGGAAGGACACCGAUCGUCUUCUUAAGCCUCGUUGGCGAACGCUCGGUAACGGCGACUCCAUUCUUGAUCAGGCUAGCUCCUCACUUCAAAUGCUCUAACCUUUGCUCUGUUUUGCCCGAAUUUGAGACUUAGUGUUCACUAGCGAAAUCGCGAGUUACUUGUCUGAAAUUGAGGUUGAUUUGAAAUGGGUAAUGCGGAUCCCAUACUUCGAAUUGCACAUCAACUGUUCGACAAAAUGCUUGAAUGAAACACCGAAAUCCAUUCCAUCAAAUCGAUGCUUUGAAGUUUUAUAGUUUGACGUUUGAUUGUUCUGAGAUUGUUGAACUACGUCUGAUGUCGUGCUUUUCUCCAUGCUUUCCUUCGAUUUCACGGCACAUCCAUGCUUUUUUCGAGUCGCCCAUGGAGGAAAACCUUGCCGGAAAUACUUUUUCCUCUGCCAGAGAAUGCCUGCGGUUAAGGGCCGCUACAGCUAGGUCCCUAGUGCUUUGCUUCGAUGUGCAUAUAUGUGUUGGUUCUCUAGAAUAGAUUUAGUUUGAAGUGCAUGUGAAUGGCGCCAAACAGGUUCGAUGAUGGCCCGAGAGAUGACCCGGCAGUGACGACCUAGUGACAGUUGGUGAGGUUGGCCGCUGACGUCAGAUUGGUUGAGAUUUCGAAGUGUGCUCGUGCGGUGAGUGUUGAGUUCGUCCAUGGAGAAGCUUCCGUCAACGGGUUGUAGGGAAAAAGACGUCGCUUGAACAAGACAGCGCAGGUGGAAAAAAGAAAAGAAAUAAGAAACUAGAAAAUGAAAAAAAGAAGUAAAAAGUUGGUCAACUCUAAUUUUGACCGGAUCAAAUUCGGAUAAUCAAACUGGGUCGGGUCAGAUUAUAAGACGAAGGUUGGGCCGAUUGAAUGAACUAAGUACAGAUUCGGGGUUACCCUUAUGGUGAAUUGGGGUUGGUUUAGAUGAAAUAGAAGUUGGGCCUGAUUUAGGUUUAGUUGGACUUGGGCUGAAGAGAAAUUGGGUUUGAAUUACAGCAAUAGUUCAAGCCCAGCAGAUCGACCCAUAUUUGGAUUAGGCCCGGGGCCGAUCCGAAUUGCAAGCUCCAUCCCCGACCCCAGGGUCUGGGUUAGACCCAUACCCGGGCCGGUUCCCCGACCCGGUCCGAAGUCCCUUUUUAAUAUUUCAUAAAAAUUUCAUAAAACUCAUAAAAAAAACCAAAAUUGAAUAAACCUUUAGAGCUUUAUAAUAAGGAUUUUUGUAUGCCUUUAGUUAGAGACAAUAUCAAGUUGUCUAUGUGUUUACUUCGAUUGCACUUGAUUGUGCACUUUAAUAUUAUGAGCGUUAUUUUCAUUUUUAGAAUUGUUAGGAUGAACUCGAAAAGUCUUGGAUAGGCUUCCUAGCAUUUUAGUUGGUAUGUAAUCAAGUUUAGGUACCAAAAGACCAUUACUUUUAAAACUAAUGUAAUCAAGUCCCCGUUUCCAAGAUCUCUGGUUGCAUGAAAAAUGAGAUAUUCUUACAUAUCUCACUUGGUUUUUAAUCGACUUAAAUAGGUUAGUGGCAACUCAUUGUGUAGAAAUUCACAUAGGAUUAGUUAAAUAAAAAAAUCGAAUAUAUAAUGUUACAUGGGUAUGAACUUGAGAGAGUCCACGUUUAUGAUUGAUGAGUCGUUUGCAAUGUUAGCAAAUGAUGAUCCAUCCGAGAUCAUCAUUUGUAUGAACCAAUCGACUCAUCUCAUGAGCAAGUACCUCUAAACAUAUUUCUCCCUUGGUAGGUCACGAUAGUGUAAUGAUAUGUGUUUACAAUCAAGAGGCGAAAAGGUUGAUUCGACAAUGUUGGCACUCAUUUGGCGUGUUCUAAAGUGACCUUGUAAGACAUUGAAGCACUACAAAAUUAUACAUGAUUUUCUAUGUCAAUAUCUGCAUAUUUUGAAAGGUUUCGGGUAUUCACAAAGUUCUAAUUGCAAGAAUAUGGGAAAUUAUUUAUUAAAAAAAAAAAUUAACGAGAGAAUCACCUAGGAAACCGUCUAGGUAAAGGCUAAUUGACUAAGAUUUAUGUUAACCUAGGAGUUUCUCCUUCAAUCUUGAUUGGUGAAAUCGUGUUAGCUUAAUCAUCUCUAUCUAGCAUCUAAAUUUUUCUGAAAAAUAUUAGAACAAUGAAAACAUAUGUAGUGGUACUUCGUCGGUUUUGGAUUCCGCAACGAAAUAUCUUUCAUCAAAUGUUAUAUUUUGAUUUUUAUUUGAGGGGACUUAGGUUCUAUGCUAGUAUUGGACAGAAAUGGUCAUAUAGUAACAUAUAUGUGUGUGUGUGUGUGUGUGUGUGUGUGUAUAGAUUAUAUGGUUCUAAAUUUAAUGGAGUCACUUAAUACAAGCUUAAAAUUAAUGGUAACUAAUGUCGAAAUAUAAUCAACUAUUUGAUCCAAACUCAUUACGACAUACUAAUGAAAGCCCAUUAAAAUCAAAAUGGUUUGUACAAUAUUGAAGCUGAUUCGACAACAUUGGACAUUGAAAACAAUACCAAGAAGGCACUGCUCUUAAUUGGACUCGAGAACAUAACGUCAAAACUUAAUCGACAAUGCUGGAUAGUGGAAACAACACCUAGUGAAUACUGCUCCUAAAUAGAUAUGAGGACAUAACGUCGGAAGCUAAUCGAUGACGCUAAAUAGUAGGACAGUAUUGGAAUAUAAUCAACAGCACUAUCUUGGAUAUAGACACUCAUUGGAAUCGAAUAUAUAAAGGGAAUCUGAAGCUGUAGCUAAACUAAAUUAGGCUAAGAUAACUAAAAGGGUAAGACAAAGGAACUUUGUGUGUUGUUUAGGGGGGCACUAUGUUGGAUUGCAUGCGGUAUUUAUAGGCCAAUUUGGUAACUGUCGGUAGUUGAUUGCUUCCUCCUUGAAAGUUGUUCAACGUUCUUUGCUCAACUACUUUAUCCAUAUCUUGUUGUCUUUUGACUUGUUCGACAAUGCUUAGAUGACUUGCUCAACAAGUAUUAACCGCUCCUUUGGUUUUGCACUCCCUUUUAAUCAACCAUUCCUAUCUAAAUCUUGAUGCCAAUUCCAUAUGAAUCCUUUGUCUUCGGUAGCAUCUCUUGACUUGGACAUGUGGCAAUCAACUAUUUUAUCAUCGAAUGGCAUAUCUCCACUUGUACAUCUAUCGAAAUCUAGCCCAAAGGCUUUUGAAAUCCUUGGUCAUCCUUUGUUUCCAUGACUAACAUAGGCUAAAGUUGAUGUUAAUCACAGCCCACACGUGACGAUGAGAAUGAUUUUGAAUGUUUUUAUUUCUCGUGACCAGCACAUGACAAUAAGGUGUCAAUAACUGAUUACCUUUCUUAUGUGUGAAAUGCUUAAGCCUAAAAAUUAUUUUCGUUGACUGUUACUGAGAGGGUGCGGAAAUUGGGCAUGGGACCGGGGGAUCAAUCAUUGACUAUUCUCGCCACAUCACCCAUAAGAUAACGGCGCAAUAGAUGAGAUGCACAGGCGUACGGUUAUCAAUUAAAAGCAUUUAACAUGGUAAAAUUACACUUUACUUGGCAACUUCGAAAAGGCGUGGAGAGUAGGAAAAUGGGGGAGAAAGCAGGUAGGAAAGUCAAAAUAAUUUAUUUGGGAGGGCACCGAAUAGAAGAAGAUUUUAGUGAGAGCAAAUUUCUUGGCCCAAAAUCGUGCAUUUUGGAAUUCCACCCCAAACGAUACACGCACACACCAACAAGGCAUUGGCUAGAUGUUAAAAGAGUUUGCUCCUCUUCCUAUGAUCUUUUAUUUAAGACUUACUGGGAGCACUUUAAAAAAGAGGUUUUGAAUCCACAAGACCGAAAUGAACGAGUGCGUUCUUAAGAUUAUUUAAAGAGGUGGAUCACUUGAGGUGCACAAAAAUUGGCGUGGACACCAUCUAACCACUAAAAAAAAUGAAUGAUUCCCAAAACUUAUUCACAACUUUUGCCGGCAAUUGCACUCACCUUUUCAUCUUCACCCAACUUUUGUAUGCACACGAUAUACGCAUUAGCCCUUGCACCUAAUCCUUUUAUUUUGGUCAAGCUAGAAUGAAGGGAAUCAAUGAACUCGUGAAGCUUUGUAUUCAGUUUACCCGGAGCUUAUUUGGAUUUCGCAUUACGGUAGGAGGUUGAUGACACUUGUCGUGGAGAAUCACCAAGAAAGGAACUCUCAAACGCUCUUUGAAGGUGCAACUAAUGAGUUCUCAUUAGUUUCUAGCGAAAAAAAAAACAGUAGUUCAAGCGCCUACAACAGAAGAAUUGGCCAGGAUGAUGCUUGCAGCAGCAAAGUACAAUCCUAAGUUCGAUGUUGUAACUACUGUCUCCAGAGCAACUAUUCAAAUGCAAAGAGCUCUCGAUUGGUUAAGAGUAAGUAUCUUUGUUUUCAUAUAUGUAAUAACGGCACUUACUAAUAGUUAUCAUAUUUUCUAGACAAUUUUUUCGAAGUAUGAUGGCUAGGUUAGGGACACCAUAAGUGUCAUAACUUUUUUUAUAAAGUUCAUUUGAGUGCCAUAACUUUUUUUUCUUCAUUCAAUCACUUGAGCAUCAUGACUAUUGAGUGUCAUGACUUCUUAAAAACAUUCGUUUGAGUGUUAUAACUUUAGUUAGAACUUUUAGAAAAUGUUUACCACUGGUGCCAUGCUAUGUCGGAUUUUUGGCACAGAAGGUGAACAUUUUUUAAAAUGGUCAUGGCACUCGAAUGAACGUUUUAUUAGAAUUUACGACACCCAAGUGAUUGUCAAAAAAGUUAUAAUAUUCAAGUGAAUGUUUUUUUUUUUUUUUUGAAGUCAUGGUACUUAAAAAAUCGAAAAAAAAAUUAUGCCACUGAGAUAAGCAUCAUACAAAAGUUAAGACACUUAAGGUAUUCUUUUUCCUAAAAUUAUAGGUAAUAAGAUUUACUCCAACAAAUAUAAUUUCGAGAUAAAUUCUUUGGAGUGGUAUCAAUCACAUGACAAGUAAAUCUAUUAGCUAUGACAAAAUCUGUACACGGGAAAGUCCUGGGAAGAAGAGGAUACACUCACGGCUAAUUUGAUUGUUCAUUUAAUAUCAAACAUCAAAUGUGUGCGGCAAAAAAGGGGAAAAUGUAAAUAACAAGCAUCUCGGUAGAAAAAGAUAUAUUUAAAGAGACAUAUAUUCUAAAGAAUCCUCAACGGCAGAUUCACAAUUUCUCUAUGCAGGCAAGGAGACGUAAUUGAGUCGAUGAAGCAGCGCAAGCUUGACCUAGCAUGCAUACUCAUUACUCGAAGCACGACUCAAAUUUGAUCAAGCAUUAAAAAUUCUGCUCGAAAUCAACUCCAAUAGAAAAUCAAAAAAUUUGAGCUCCACUCGACUUGAAUAGAUAUGUAUUAAUUAUCAUAUUUAUGGUGAUCCUAAUGGUUACUGGCGCCAAGAAGCUGAUCCUCAAGGAUUAUAGAACUGUCGUAAGAUUUAAUACCCGAUAUAGAAAAAGGAGGAGGAACUGGAUUCCAAAAUGAAGAGCCGGAGACAAGGAGUACCGGAGAGGAAUUUGAAAUAACCCCUUAAAAUUAUAUCAAAGCACAUUCUACUAGAAUAAAUGUUAUGCUGUGCAAUUUCAGGAAUGAUAACCAUUGGGGGUUCGCCUCAGUGGCCACCCUUCCAACUUGAAAGGGGGAGGUAGGAGGUUCAAAUCCCCAUCUUCUCAGGAGGGAUUGGGGUGGGGACGAUUUCAUUUCGGGAGUGGGUUUCAACUCCCACGCCCUGCAAGGAGGCAGAGCAAAAGUCUGAGAGUGAGUAGUAGAGUAGGAUUAUAGUAGAACCGACAAAAAAUUUCAGGAAUGAUAUCAUCGGUUAACUGACCGAAGUUUUUUUCUUUGUCAUAUCUAGAGCUUGCCACUGAUUAUUCACUUCACUUAGAUAUACUUCGCCAUCGAACAAGAAUCAUGUUGUGCAGAAAAAAAGAUUUGGACCUUCAAAAUAUGAGGUAUAAAAUAUAUAUUGUUAAUCGAUUUAUUCGAUUCCAUAUACAAAUCAGAUAAAUGGAAAUGUUGGUCUUUUUUAAUGGCCAGCGAGGAUUAUUGAUUAUAUUUAACACAAGGUCAUACUCCGUUGGAACUUGGAUCUAACUGGUGUUCACAGGCGUGACUUCAGUGGUCAAUGGAUAGGUUCAGUCUAAGCACCCAGACACAGACAAAGUUCUACUUUUCUCGUAUGAGAGGGGCUAUCAAACAUUAAAUAAUAGCUUGAUUUUUUCCAAUAAUUUUAAGCCCAUGGCCGGGUCAACUUCUAAUAGGGUGGUCCAGGUUAUUGAGAUGGGCCUUUAAGCUUAAUCCCACGCAGCUCUUGUUUCUUGAGCUGGGGUAAAUCAGUAAGUUUUGUGGAGAGUGCAAACCAUUUGGCCUGUGAUUUGAAAUUCAGUCAUGGAUUGCAAUGUACUUCCUAGAAAACUUGAUCAAAUUUAAGUUAUAUGAGGAGUAUGGUACCGCAGAUCUCUCUUCUGUUGUUGCCCUGAUGUCUGAUCAAAGGAGGCCAACGAAGGACAACCUUAGGGAUUCGUGAUUUAUUAAUCAUAACUUGAUCACAAGUGAUUAAUCCAUUGAUUCAAAAUGAAAUUUUAUAUCAACUCGUUUCUAGCACAUUCGGAAUGUCAAUGCACACGGCUCAAUUGGACCCAAAGUCAUGUACACAAACCACACUGGCUUUAGGCCAUAAUUUAUUAGAGCCACAAGAAUGCAAUUUGAUGCUUGGAGUGUGUGGUGGUUUUUUUUUUUUUGGGAGGGGGGGGGGGGUGGGGCGCUUAACAAAGGCAAGCCAAAAGCAACACAAAACAUCCAAGUGUAUUAUCUGUGUAUGCAUACAUUGAAAUCAAGAUAGUGAACUAAGACCUACUUUGCCUCAAGUUCAUGUCGGAUUUGGCAAGAACUCAAUGAAUUGACCCUUCUUGAUGGUCCCCCCUAAAGUUCUCCCCUUUCACUAAUUCGAUCUUUCUCUUACUAAUGUUCUUCAAUUAAUCUAGACUUAUCCUCUACUAUAACAAUCGAAACAUCAUCAUUUUGCCAUAAAUUUUCCUUUUUGUUCUUGGCGAAAAUGAUAUAACAAAAGAGACAAGGCGUAUAAAUGUUGUUUUGUUUUUUUGCGGAGCAUGUGUUAGUUAUUGCAAACAAACAUAUGGAACAAUGGUCCACCAUAUAUUGCGGGAAAUUGGGUAUUAGAGUAUGGUGCUUUGAUGUGGCCCAUCUACAUCCACGUGUGAUAAAUUCAUAAUAUAAUGCCAAACUGGGGCUAGGUGAAAAUGCGUAAUUUAACCCUUUUUCGUUCUAUUGCUAAUAAAUUCAUAAUAUAAUGCCAAACUGGGGCAAGGUGAAAAUGUGUAAUUUAACCCUUUUUCGUUCUAUUGCUGAUAAAUUCAUAAUAUAAUGCCAAAUUGGGGCUAGGUGAAAAUGCAUAAUUUAACCCUUUUUUCGUUAUAUUUCUGAGACAUCAGAAGCUAUAUGUGCAAUACCCAAGAUGAUAUUCAAAGGGAUUUAUUCAUCUGAAAAUUCAAUAUGAUAUUGUCAACUUAAUAAGAAAAUAUUAAUAAGUAAAAAUUUUAGAAAUUUGGCAUUCCUCAAAAGUUAAUAUGAAGAGAUUUUUUUUUUCCAAUGGCACAUGAAAAUAUUUCCCGUAAUUGACUAUGACAAUACCACCUAUAAGAAUCACGGAGAGAUUUUGAAAUGCUUUAGGAUCACAACACAUAUGCGUUCAUCCAAAUUAAGCGUUAUUGAUCAUCUUGUUUUUUCUUUCAAAUUAGUGCGCAUGGUUUGAGUGGAUUGAUUUGCAACCAUCAUGUUUAAUAUGUAUGAUCAAUUAAAUCUUGCACUGAUAGGCUAGAACCUAAGUAUAUCCCCAACCAAAAUUCAAAGUAACAAUUGGGUAAACUAAACUAUGUUAGUGUGAAAUUUAACAUUUUUUGGGUUAAUUGAGUUAAUCAUUUUUUUUUCUAAUAACCACACACUCUAAGCUUUUGAGUGGCUUAGUUAAACAAUGUAAAAUAUUUUCCCAAGCAAUCAUUAUUGGAGAAUGACGAUUUGUCUGGCCUGUUGGCGCUAAUUAUAAUUGUCCUUUUAAACUUCUCAACAAAAAACAGUAAAAUUGCCAAUUUUUUUUUCUUGGUCAUUAGCAUCUCACCUUACAUUUCUACGGCCAAUGUGAGGAUCUCGUGUGAUCACCACCACAUCAUCACUUUGCAUAGAGUCAUAAUAAUAUAAAUCAUCUUUCUUUUUUAAAGCCAACACAGCAUGAACUAAGACAUUAAAUUAAUUCUUAAACACUAGGGCUUGUGGAUCCAUUGAAUCAUUCUAUCUUUUCACCAUCUCGCCCCACCUCCUUUUUGAUAUAAACCCGUUUUUCUAUUCGGUCAUAUUAUUAUUAUGUAAUCUGAGAUACUUAUUUAAAAAGUCCUAAUUUUAUUGUAUAGUGACCAGUUUAGGUCCUAACUUUUUAAUUGUACUAAUUUAAUCCUAAAUCUUUACAUAAAUUGUCAAUAUAGUCAUUUUAACCAAUUUUGAUAAAAAAAAAAUCACUAACUGAUUUAAAAAAAAAAUUCUAAAAUUUUUAUGAUUUCCUUUUUUUCUCAUUGUUUCCUUUUUUCUCCCUGUUCUUUUCAUUUUGCCUAUGACCAAUACUUGGCCAUGGUCAGUAACCUACCACAAGCUAGUUACCCUAGCUUGCACAAUGUGUGGCUGACAAGAGCCAUGAUGCCCUCACUCAGCAAGGGUGUUGUAGCCCUUGUCCCAUCUAGAAUGGCUGACCAUCCCCCAUGCAAGUCCAGCCCUCACCUGUGGCCGAUCAUCGGCCACAAGCCAAAAAAAAAAGGAAAAAAGGAAAAAUUCACAACAAGUUUUUUUUUUUUUUAAAAAAAAAUCCAAACAUUAUGCACAUUAGCGCCAAUUGGCCACAUAGGAUGGUUGACUAGAUCGCCACCUUAGCAAUUUUUGGCCAAAAAUUGGUGGGAAUGACUAUGCUAAGAAAUUAUCAAAAGGUUUGGGACUUAAUUGACAUAAUUACAAGAUUUAGUAAUGAAUUCACUGCCAUACAAUAUGUUUAAAACUUUUUGGAUAAUUUUCCUAUAUAAUUGAUUUUCGCGUUGCUCAUUUAUAUAUAAAGAUAAAAUUCAUAUACCCUAAGGGACACCUUUUGAGAAAAUAAAGUCUAAAAGUAGAAGGCUAGUUCCUUGGGCACUUGAUGCUAAAAAUUAUAGCGAAGGUCAUAUGAAUUAACUAAAUAUAUAUUUCAAUUAUAACUUAUUGAUUCCUUACAUCAUCAAUUGAAAUGGUGCGAGUAUUCGUUUGAAAGACAAUCCUUUUCAACCUUAAUAAAAGUUAAAAGAAAAAAAAUAAAGCUUCGAAAGGUUUAUAUUUGUGGAACUAUAUAUCCAAGUCCAUCAUGCAUUGAAAAGUAGAAACUAGGGGAAAGUACACUAAAAAUGUCAAAAGUUAUGUACGACGCUCACUUUGAUACCAAAAGUUUAUUUUGGAUCACUUAAGUGCUAAAAAUUUUGAAAAACAAUUAUUUAAGUGCUAAUGCCAAUCUGAUUGACCGAAAAUCCAGCACUUUUUUUUUAUUAAUUUUAAAGCCAACGUGGCUUAACGGAGAGUAUAGUCAGUAUGCAAACAACAAAAUGAUGCCAUUUGGCGCUUUUCCCUAAUCGGCCAAUUUGAGUACCGACUUUGAUUUUCCCUCAAAAUUAUUAACUUGAUCUUACAAAUAGAGGGCGGAAGCUUUAGUAGUGGCUCACAUUCGUUCCAAAAAAGUGAAUUAGAUAGUGACUGUUAUUGUUAUUGCGGGUUACCAAGUUUGAGAAGAACAUCUUAGACUUGGUUGAAUCCUCGAAGAAGAUUCCAUGGGUGCGAUAGGUCUAGAGAAGGCUCAAAGUGCAAAUAUUUCAAAUGGUUUGACGCGAAAUUCGAGUGACAGAGGUGAUUUUGGAGCUACUUAAAGGCCAACAUCAACCUCCAGCUACAUUAAUGGAUGACUUGGAGGAUUUCGACUCAGUACAAGCUCAAAUGAAGGGUUUAACAUCUCUAGUCGACCAUUUGAAGAAUGACGUUUCAAGGCUGAAAAUUGAAAGAAACUUUUACUGGGCAUUGAUUGUGUUGUUGUUCUCUUGUAUAGUCUAUUCAAAUGUGAAGUGAGUAAUGAAAAGAAAUUUGUAUUUCUACCAUAGUCGAAGAUGUGGAAUAUAUACUUGUAUCGGGUUAUUUAUAUGUAAAGUGUGUUAUUGAUUUGCCGCAAAUUUUGAUGGAACAAGAUUUUUUGUUGUGAUCUAUAGUGAAUAUGUAAGGUUGGAGUUGAAAUUCAUUGGUUGUGAGCACUCAAAGGUUUUUUUUUUCCUUAGUUGUGUAUUGUUAAUGUUAGUUUGUUUUGCUUAGUUUUUGCUUCAGAUGUAAUGGUUUACUGCAUUUUUUGUUUGGUAAUGGUUUGUUAGUUUGCUAUAACUAUUACUACAAGCCAUGACAAAAUUAAGGGGUGGUAACAAAUUCACGAUUGACUAUUCCAGUGUCAUAAGUUCUAAUUUAUUGUACAAUGAAUGAUUAAAUAGAAUAGUCAAAAUUUAGGUAUCGACAUUGUAUGAAUCAUGUGUCACAUAAAUCUAUGAGAUAUGAUAAGAAAUGUACAUGGGAAAGUCUUUGGGAGAAGAGAAUACGCUGACAGCUAAUUUGAUUGUUCAUUAAAAUACCAAGCAUCACAUAUGUGGCAAACAAGGGGCGCAAAGCUCCAAAUAAUAAGCAUCUCGAUAGCAAAGAAUAUUUAAAGGGACACACACUACAAAGAAUCCCAAAAGGCUGCUUCACAAUUUAUGUAGUCGAUAUAGUAUGCAGCUCAAGGUUGACUUGACAUGCAUACUUGGUACCUAAAACAUGACUCAAAUGUGAUCAAGCAUUAAAAAUCAUACUCGAUUUCAACUGGAAUGGAAAAGCGAAAAUUUUGAACUCGACUCAACGUGAAUAGAUAACAAUGAAAUUAUAAAUGAGUCCAACCAUGAGUUUAAAAAGCUUGACUAUUUUUACAUGCACUUGACAGCAUACAUUAAAUGUUAGUAUAAAUAUGGCUGAUGUCGCACUUCAAAAGUCUCUAAACAUGAGUAAACACCAUGAUAGUCACAUUUCACACAUAGUAACAAGUGCAAACAAAGAUCACAUUGCAGAUGUCCUUCUCCAAUAAUAGCAUAGAUCAUUUCCAAAGCUUCAGGGGACGGUAGAGGUGAGGUCGAAAGGUGGAUCCCACCAUUUCAACAUAUAAGGGAAGUUGUAGGAUUGCGAACAAAAUGAUGGGGAUGGCAGCCAACAAUGUAAUUGGGAUGUAAAUCCACUUCAAUCGUUCACUCAAGACAAUCAUAAGAGCAGAGCCAAAUGCCACCAACAUAAAAGCCAAUGAGAGGAAGAGAAAAGUGAGGCCCAAUAUCAUUUUUCUUGGUAGUGAGUAGAGGAAAUCUUCGCUCGCGUAGCGUGAAGUUAGAAUGGCCAAGAACAUCAAUGUGGCAGUGACAGAGGAGAAGAGAGCAAGAGCAUUUGCAACGACGAAUACCAUGAAUGAGCCCUUGUUCAGAAAUAUUGGGAUCCCCUUACUACCGUCGUUGCCUCCAAGCACCGUAAAAGUUGCAGCAAAAGCUACUGUAAUAAUUAGAGUUGCAACAAGGCUACAAGAUGAUGAUGUAUCCUUCAUCCAUUGCCCUGCAUCUUUGAGCAAUCCUUCGCGCUGUUCUACAAACUUUUCCCAGUAUGACUUUUUAUUUUCUAUAUAUGUCUGCCAUUUAGAAGAAAAAAAUCCUCUAAAUUCCACUGCCUUCAAAAAAAAAAAAAGGACACCUAUCAAUGUAAACAUCAAUAAAAAGCACAAAAGGGGUAAACAAAUGAGGAUCACUCACUUGAAACCAUUGAAGUUCCCUCUGCAUAAGAAAAGCCGCUCCAGAAACAUCAGGGGACACACAUCUCGAAGACCAUUUGGUUACAGCCUCCAUCAGGUCAAAGUCCAUGUAAUUAUCUUCAGCCAAAUAUCGAAUUGGGUAGUUUUCGUUCACCAGUCUAAACAACUCAAUAUGCCGUCCCUCCACAACUUUUAUGAUCAGUUUUUUUGCGAAAUUGGUAUCCCACAUCAACUCCGGAAAAUAUUUAAGACAUAAAUCCACAAUUUCAAAGACUCCGCGAGAUGCAGCAUCAAGGACAACGCCUGAAGUUAAUAUAUACUCCAGUAUUUCGGGAGUACUUGUACCAUUCUUUAUCUCGGUAAGAGCUUGUUUUGCAAACUCAAGCGAGUAAUAGUGCCUCAACUUCGAUUCUCCACUUCUUUUGAUGAAAGGUGCUGCAAGUAACAUCAGAGAAGCAAAUUUUCCAAUGAUGAAGAAUCCAAAGGUUAAAGAAGCUUUCACAUUUGCACUAUAUUCUUAUGUAUAUUUAGUAGCUCAGAGAAAAGAAAAUAUUAAUUGAGAAAAUAAACUUGAUGGCUUGGCAAUCAAAAUGCAGGCAUCAGAACAUAUAGAUCUAUUGAUGAACACACACAAUGUCAUAUGAGAAAAAAAAGUGUUCCUUUUUUCUUUUUUUCUUUUUUUGGGAGAAGGGGUAGAUUCAGCGAGGAUCGAUAGAUAUGGUUUCCAUUGAAUAUCUUUGUAGAUUCACCUAAUGGAUAUAUGUAGUUCAAACGUUGAAUUAAAUUGAUUAGAAUAAUAUCUUAUCGUAAUGUACGAAUGAUGAGCCAGUCUAUAUUUAUUACUAUGAUCUCAAAGGGAUGUACUGAUAGUAUCAAUAAUACACUUUAAAUUUAGAGAUUACUGUUUUUUUUUUUUGUUUGCAUAACAUGGCAAUAUCGUAUACCUGGUAUUGUGGCAAGAUUCCAUAGUGAUAUCUUGAUCCAAUGAAGUGCUUUUAGUACUACCAUCACAAAGAGGAGAUAAUAAAUCAUGUCAGGAAAUUAGGAAUUGAUGAUGAACAAAAAGAUACAUAGAACAAUCAUGAAUUGAAAAUUGCUCAUGCUUUAUAAUGCUUGAUUAUGUUUAAAAAACAACUCGUAUCAAUCAAUCUCCAUGACCUGAAAUCCAAAAUCUACAAUUCUCAGUAAGCCUGCUUGGCAAUUCGACAAUGACUAAGACUUCUCCACUAGCAUUUCAAAUGUUACAUUAGAUAUUAAUUUGUGACAUAAAUCAUCGUUAAGAUAUUAGUUUGUAUACAUCGAUGCAGUCCUUGUUCCUGAACUUUUUUGUAAAGUAGGAUCCCUGAAUGAUAUGCUCUUUUUUUUUCUUUUUUCUUUUUUUUGUGUUAGUCCAUCCACUAAACAGAUCAAUAAAAAUACCUCGAGCCAUUUUUGUGUCCUCGGAGUCGUCAAAUGAUGUAUUGACCAAGCAGAGAGGGAUAACUGAAAAUGGGAACAAAUAGAGUGAACGCUAUGUGGAUGGAGUUGCUUGAAUUGCACGUAUCCAACAAAAGAAGCGCAGUGAAUACCUACUUUUGUAAAUACAUUUUUCCCAAAAAUUGAGUUGAUCUCCAUUACGGAAGUGAAAAGGAAUUAUCGCCAAGUAAUCCAAACAGCCCACGCCAUCAGUUCCCUUGGAUGUCGUUAAGCCAGGGUAUUUGCGAGCUAAAUAUAAGCAUAUGUCUUUUGGGAUGCAAGAAUAAAAAAGUUAAUUCAAGAAAAUAUGAGAUAAGAUGAGUCGGUGUGAAAUCCUACCCAAAUGGCCAGCUAUAAUAAGAUGAGUCAGUGUGAAAUCCUACCGAAAUAGCCGCUAUCGAUAAGGCCGAACAUCGUGUCAGAAGAUGGGGCGCAUGUUGAACGCCUGGCCAAGUACCAGAUGGCCUCCUUAUAUUGCGAAGGAGCAAAAUAAGUAGCAAGGUUUAGGGCAGUCUCUCUAAUAUCAGGUCUGGCAUCAGCUUUGUCUAUUAACGCCUUUACCAUCUUUAAUCUUCCUCCCUGAGCAGCAUAGUGAAGGGCUCUAUUAGGAUUGAGAUCUUCAUAAACCCGAGGAAAUCGCUUGACCAGGUUCUCAACCAACUGAUCUUGUGUGGCCAUAAUCGCAAUAUCAAGCACAGUAAAAGACUCAUUUCCUAUAGUCAUAAUUUUGGCCGUCAAUGAUGCAUGAUUUUUAUUGAGGAUUUUCUUGAUAGUUUUCCAAUCACCUCUCAGUGCUGCAUCAAAGAGUGAUCGAUGGUUCUCAUUCUCAUUGACGACCGCUCUUGGUUGGACUGCAAAAAUGGCACAUAAAAAAUUCAUCAGCCUUUCGUAAUUUUUUAUUUUCAGAUCAAGUGUAAUCAUAUCACUUGCUCAAAGUUUCGAUAAAACAUGGAUGCAAGUGAAGAGGUGGUGGUUUACUCAACGGACCUUUUCACCUUCCUUACUCUUUGCAAGCAAAAAGGUAUUUUUUAUUUGGGUUGUCCGAAUUGUUAUUCAAGAUAUUAUUCGGAUUUUAAAAAUAAUGAAAAAAUGAUAUUCAGCAUGUUGAUAUAUCCUGUGUCACUUGAUUAUGAAAUUUAUAUACUUUAUAUAUAUGUUCUCCCUCCAACUAUUAGCUUGAGGUUUAUGAUUGAACUUUCUUACACGAUAUCAAAGAUAGGGUUUGUACUAGUUAAUUUGGCGCAUGUGUCCACCCCAUUGGUCAAAUUACCUUCUCUAACAAUUUGUCUGCUGUGAAAUAAAAAUGUUUUGGAUUAAAUAAAUCAGUACAUGAAACAUAAGAUUUAUAAAAUAUGAAAAUUAAAAGUGUAAAGUGACAAACCUUUAGAAUUUAAUAGAUUCCAGGCCUUUUGUUGCCGCCACCUCGGAUAGUCUUCCACAGGAUUUGUCAUGUCUUCAUAACUUCCUUCUUCUUCUUUUUCUUUUUUUCUUUUUUUAAUUUUUGGUCGGUCAUAACUUCCUUCUUCGUUACCAAAAGAAAAAUGAACAUAAAUAACCUUGAAAACAUGACUCCUAUCAUGCUCAUUCAUUGCAUGGAAGUUUAUGUACUGAACUUAGAUGAAAUACUUUUAAAUAAAUAAAACUUUAAAGUUAAAAUAAUAGACAUCGUAAGUUUUUUUCGAGAUAGGCAUUGUAUCAUAAAUUAGUUUCGUGGGACCUUCUAACUUUCAUAUCUUGGACAAUUUGUUUUUUAGUUAGUUUUUAUGUCUCAUUGCCAUUGAUAUUGUCCACAAUACCAUUCAUAAAUUGUGACUGUAUUCUUUUACUCUUUGCAAGUAAAAGAAUAUUUAUUUUUGGGCUUUCUCAAUUAUAAUUCAAGAUAUUAUUCAAAAUUUAAAAAUUAAGAUAAUACUAUACUUGAAUUUAUAUGCCAGCAUUUGUAUACUAUGAAAUUUAGGGAAAAUUUCAAAUAAAGACCUGAAGUGCCCUCAUUUUUUUUUUUAAUAAGGGCCUAAAGUGGACAUUAUUUUAAAUAAGGACUCGAAGUAUUCUCAUUUUCUUAAAUAAUGGCCUACAAUGAAUCUUGUUUCAAACAAGAGCCUAAAAUAGCCAUAUUAGUCUCAAAGAAGGGCCUCAACUCACUAUUUGAUAAAGGCAAUAUUGUCUUUUAAAAUUUUUCUUUUUUUUCCAUAGAAAACAAACUAAACAAAUUUUAAAAAAAAAAAAAGAUAAAAGAAUAGAGACGGGAGGGAGGGCUCCCUUUUGCCUAGGGCCACCACCCUAUCGCUGGUGGGGCAGUGGUGAUGGCCAACAGGGUCGUUAGCACCUGGGCGAGAGUCGACGGCCCUCGUCCAACACCCUCGGACCUCGCCUUAGAUCUGAGGGUGCUAGGUGUGACAUCCUGAUUUUUAGGUUUUAUUUUUGAUUAAAUAAGUUGAACUUUUCAUCGACGCUCCUAUAGUUAUUUUCUCUAAGUUGGCCACUCACAAGAUAACUUGCCUAUCAGGUGAAGCCAUUAAAAGAUUUUAAUGCGAUAGACUUGAGAAUUCAAUCGAGAAUCAACUACUCAACCAUGCUAAUCUACAAUGGUAAUUACGGCAUUGUCAAAACUGAUCAAAUAUCAGAGAUAGAUCGAUUCGACUGAGAUGUGUGAUCAAAGUGUGGGUGAUUCUACCUGAUAUCAAAAUUCUUGUUGAUCAACACUAGAUCGAUUUUUCUGUCAUUUUGGAUACCAUGUGCCCGUAUUUGAAACAUUGAGAUUUUCAUGACAAUCGAGAGUCACAAAUGUGUCGAAGAUGUACAUUGUGGCUCGAAAUAAAUAGACCACAGGUCAAUUGCAUCAAAAAUUCCAGAAAGCUACCCAGUCAGCUAGGUCACGCUAAAAUCGCGCCAGAUUGAAAUUAACCGCGAAUUCGAAUCCUAUUUCAAAAUUUAAAAGUUUUUUUGAUGUCAUGAGUCAUUUUAGGAUUGUCGACUCAUCCUCCAAAGAUUUUUUUUUGCAAAUCGAGAUUUUUGGCAGAAUUUCAUUAGAGGGUCGUUUUCGACUGGAAAAUUGAGGGGACCGUCUUUUAUCGCAUUUUUUGGGAUGCAAGUUAGUUCUAUUGGCAAUGAAAAAUGUCAAUUUGAUCGAGGACAUCUUGGUGGAAUUUAUAGGGACCGAUUUAAGUCCAAUUGAAGAGAAAUUGGUUCAAUUUGGGAGAGUUUGUGCCUAAAUUCGUACGCCAUGGCCACCACCACCUUUGGACCACUUCAAUGACUUCCUAAGGAAGCUUGUGGGCUGCUAUUUGGCUGAGGAUAGGGUAGACAAGGUGGGGGGGCAUCUAAUGAUCAAGAAAGAAGAUAUUUGUGGUCAAAUGGUACCCCCAAGGCUUCUGCAGUCUUCUUCUCCCUCAACCAGCCUCCUUUAUCCAUUGUUGAUCAAGAUUUGAGCUCCAAAAACCAGAGAGAAACCGAAGAGAGUCCCCCCUUUCCCGUCGACGCCCCUGCCGUCCAACGCCAUCCAGCACCAUCACUUGCUUGUUGUGCCGCCUACGAGCCAAGCCAACAUCGUCCACCUCCCUGCUUGCGUCCGCUAAUCCCCACGCCCCUAUCCGACGUAGCCAAGCCACUGUCGUAGGCCGCCAAGCUCGCCUAGCCACCCGUCCCGCCGUCGGAAGCCACCGCUUGCUCCGCCCGCUCGCCUAGCCGACCGUCUCGCCAUUUCUACCCAAGUUAGCUUCGGUUCAGCCCUCUCGACCCAACAACCAGAACCAAGUAGUCCAGUCCAACCGUGGGCUUCUAGGUUUAUUUGGGACCGCUUUCGGGCCUCAUAGGGUGUCGCCGCUUUGGAGUUUGUUGCCCGUCUCCGCCUUGCUAUCGUCGUGGACUCAUUGGAUUUUAAAACCAGUGAGUUUACUCACUAAACUCUUCUUAGGGAGUUAAUGAUGCUUAAGAGUUGAUUAAUUUAGGCUAAGUAUGAUUUAGGUGGUUAGUUAGAAUGGAUUAGCAAUUUAAUUAUUCGUUUAUGUAUGUUAGGUGGUUAGAUCGGCUUAAUUAGCAACUAGAUAGGUUGUAUUAUUUAUCUAGUCAAGUUCAGAAUUUUUCCAAGCCUAUUUUGGUAUUUAAUUAGGCUUUUCUGGCCUAAGUUUGCAUUUAGGGUAUUUAAUUGUAUUUAAUUAAUUAAUUUUGGUAAUUAUUUAAUUAUUUAUUAUUUUAUGUAAAUUAUACCAGGAGAGCCAGUGACCGGAAUUUCGUGCUGAUUGCAAUGGUAGGAUUGGUUUAUUUAAUUGAGUGUUGAUUUGUACAAAUUAAGUGAGAAUUAUAAUUUUGGGUAUUUAUUCCAAAAUUGAGUAAUUUCGGUAUUUCAUUAAAAAAUAUCGGGCAUCGAUUUACAAUGCCCAAAAUGUGUUUAUGGAAUAUUAUAAUUAGUGAGAUUUUCUAAAAGAAAAAUAUUGUGUUUUUGGCUCAAGCCAACCAUGUACCCACACACGAUUAUUUUUAUCGAGUGCGUUUAACCUAGUGGUUUAUCAGCUUGUGAGAGCAUAUAUGCAUGUCAGCUUGUGCGAGCAUAUUUAUCGUCAACUUUUGGGACCCUUUGCACGUCAGUUUGUGAGAGCAGUAUACUAUAUCAGCCUACGAGUUUUGAUACAUUAGCUUGUGAGAGUAGUAUACUUUUUAUUCGCUUUUGGGCCCCUUUGCACGUCAAUUUGUAAAAGCAGUAUACUGUAUCAGCCUACGGGCUUUGAUACAUCAACUUGUGAAAAGCAAUAUACCUUAUCAGCUUGUGUGAACUAAGAUCGUUAUAUCAGCUUGUGAGAGCACGAUCUAUAUUAUCUGCUUGUGCGAGCUACUAUCUAUCUAUAUCAACUUGUGAAAGCUAUGACCAUAUAUUACAACUUGUGAGAGCAUUGAAUGAUUAUUUUAGCUUGUGUGAGCAGUGGUCAUAUUGAAUUGAUAGAUAUUACUGUUGAUAUCGAAUUGAGCUAAUUGACUGAUUGAUUGAUGGGUUGAUUGAAUUGAGUGGAUUGGUUGAAAUUAUGAACUGUUCUAACUUGCAGGAAGGAACUAAGGCAAGGUAAGUCCUACAUCUUAUGUGUGCAUAGGCAGUCCUUAGGCAUAUUUCCUUCAUAGUCAGAGUUUAGGGAGGGUGAACUUGCUGAGACCUUAUCUCACCCUGUUAUGGGCUAACAUAUUUGGGUCCUUAGAUGGCAAAUCCUCUAGAACAUCAUGGUCAUCCCAUGAAGGUUACCGAGUGGGUUUCUAGUUACCCUGAACUCGAAAGUUUUUGGGUGUAUGAACUGAUAGUGACCACUGUUUGGGUCAAAGAGAAUCCACCUCAUAUGAUACCUCAUCGAUUUAAAGCGUGGUUCCGCUACGAACCCAAUGGUUUUCGGGUGGGUCCCCUUAGGACUUUUGAUAUCCCCCUCUGGUGAUCGAUACUAACUCUAGACGAGAAUCCGGCUAAUCCUCCCGAUGGUGUAGUGGAGAACCUGCCAUCUCAUCCAGACCCGGUGGAGACUGAAGAAUCAGUGAAUAAGUCCAACUAGCUGGCCAUAGGAUAGCUUUGUUUUGAGGAUCGAUCUUUCGUAGAAUUGUAAAUAUAGACUAGUAUUGUAAAUGACCUAGUCUAUCGUGUAUAAAUGCGUGUUGUGCGGUUUUAAAAUUUAGGCCCUACUUUUCUGUCCCAUCUUUUUGUUGUCUAUGGAUGUAUUUAUUUGCUUCUAUAUGUGCAUUAAAAUGAAUUGGGUUGGCGACGCGUCCUGGGAUGUCGCAAAUUUAUCAACCACCGAGGGAUGGGCAUGCGAUCAAAGAUCGAGGUGUGACACUGGGCAAGGGCCACUAGUGCCUAUGCAAGGGUGGGUGACCGUCGCCCAGAUCUAGGAGAGGGUUGCCGCCCUCUCCCACCUCUAGCGAGGGGUAGAUGGCCCUCACCUUUGGUUAGCGAGGGUCGUUGGUGCCUGGGCGAGGCACUGGCGACCCCGCCCCCAUCAACUAUGGGGCAAUGGCCACUCCUCCUGCCUCUAUUUUUUUUUUUAGGUCUAAUUUUUAAAAAAUUUUAAUCUAAAAAAUGUAAUUUAAUCUAGAUUAAAAUUGUAUUUCGACGAAACCAAAAAAUUUUGCUGGUCGGUGAGCCAGUGAGGUUAGGCCCUUAUUUAAAACAAAUAUAAUCACUUUAGGUCAUUUGAGACUGAUAUGACUACUUCAGGCCUUUAUUCGAAAUAAGAUCCACUUCAUGCCAUUUUAAAAAAAAUAAGUAUACUUUGAACCAUUAUUUGGGAUUUUCCCUGAAAUUUAAAAUGUUUCAAAUUAAAAAAAAAAUGGAUGAAACACGAUAUUUAAGGGGAAUGAAAAUUAGAUGUUCAAACUGACAAACCCUCAGUUGUUUUGCCGCCGUCUUGGGAAGCUUAAUUUGUGGCUAUUGUUGAGAAAACCUCCAAGAAUUUUGAUUUCGACAGAACCAUAACUUGGAACUUAUGAUCUGAUAGAUACGAGUGUUGUUUCUGCUCGGGUGGUACAAACUAAUGAAGACUAGANNNNNNNNNNNNNNNNNNNNNNNNNNNNNNNNNNNNNNNNNNNNNNNNNNNNNNNNNNNNNNNNNNNNNNNNNNNNNNNNNNNNNNNNNNNNNNNNNNNNAUAUUAAAAUAUUAUUAAAAGUUGUCCACAUCAGCGCCGAUUAGGCCACGUAAGCCGGCCGGCAGUCAGUCAGCAAAAUCCGGCCAAAAGGACUGAAUUGGCACAACUUAAAAAAGGUUUAGGACUGAAUUAGCACCAAAAAAAUGUUUAGGACUAAAUCGACACAAAGGCAAAAGGUUUAGGAUUUUUUGGCACUUUUUCCCAAUUUUUGAAUUCUAUUAUGAUGAAAAUGGAACCCUAGGAGGAAUCUUCCAUAUUCUAACCAAACCUUUUGCACCAGCUCGUCAUGCGUUCAUUUGUUGAUGAUUAUACUCUGAAGCAAUGGAAAAUGGUAACAAUCCGAAUGAUAUCAAAUUAACUUAAUGGAAUAGAAUAAUCUCCCAUUUUGUGUAAAUCUAAUAGGAUUUGAUAUAGUAUAGCAAAAUAAAUAUCAAGCACGCAAACACAAGGCGAUUUUUUAUGUGAAAAACCUCCUCAGAGUGAGAGAUUAAAAAUCACAGGAUCGAAAUCCACCCAAAAAUCUUUACUAUCAACAAAUUUUGGUGAACAAAGUUCUUCUCUAAUAAAUACUAGAGGUACAUAACAACAAAGACCUCAAGAACAUCAUUCUUGGCAAAAUGCAUAAAUUUCACAAGAGAUUAAGGAUAAAUCUGACCAAAAAUGCAAGUUUUGAUUAAUCCACGAAAUACUUGGUAUAGGGAGUUUCAAACGAAAAUCAAACCGUCAAGAUUCAAGAAGAGUGUGCCACAAAAAUAUUUACAAUAUUUCAGCUCAAUCGGAUUACAAAUUGACUUCCAAUGCUGGCUUGAUAUAAAUUAGACUGAUUCUCAAAUCUCAGAUUUUCUGCUUGCUCUUUUUCUUUCGUCUUGGUUUCUGCUGCUAAUUUCUUUGCAGCCACUACUUAAAAGAUUGUAAUAAAUCUUAUUUCUCCAUAUAACUUAUCAUAUGGGCUCAAACUCUUUUGGGCUUACAAUUCCUUGGCCUUCCUUCAUAUGAGAGUGAACUCAGCUAGUACAAAGGUAUCACUGAUUGACAUUUUAUUUUUUAACUUUGGUUUAGUCUAUCGACCCAGUCAAGGUACAUCAAUCUCAUCCACCAACUAGUUCAAAUUGGAGAAGUGGAAAAAUCUCAUGCCUGACGGGACCGACGACAUAUCGUCAAAAGCUCGAGCUACGGACACAUUCGAAGCCUCGCAGUUGUCGAGCAAUUUCGAAAGGUUGCUAUGGACUCGUUCGAGCUGAUGGUCCAAAUAUUUUCUCGAUUUAUUNNNNNNNNNNNNNNNNNNNNNNNNNNNNNNNNNNNNNNNNNNNNNNNNNNNNNNNNNNNNNNNNNNNNNNNNNNNNNNNNNNNNNNNNNNNNNNNNNNNNNNNNNNNNNNNNNGUGUGUGUGGAGGCUAGAGAGAAUGAAGUGCAAAAAAUUGACAGGUAAAUUUAAGAAUAAACGAAAACUGGUAAAGCAAAAGAUAGUAACUCAAUCGGAGAAAAUUUGGUAAAUCACUUAAAUAAAAGUCAACACCUUCAUAUGGUAAUUGAUAAAUUUAAAUAAUAAUUGUUAAAAAUAAGAUAAUUUUUUCUUUUGUUAUAGACAAGAGAAGUUGGUAAUUAAGAAAAAAGCUAAACAAACAUUGAUGACUAACUCAAGUAAGAGUCGGUAUUCCAAAAGUUAAUAAUUUAGUCAGAGAAAUGUUAGUAUCUAUCGAAAUAUAAAUCGGUGAUUUCUAAAAAAGAAGUUGGUAAAUUUAAUGGGCUGUUAACUCAAUAGAAAACUUUCUAAAUUAGAAUAACUGAGCACUUAAAUAACUUCGUAAAAAACUAGUUGGUAACCGAAGAAAAGCUUAGUAAAUUUAAUGGGUUAUUACAUUAUGUUUCAUGAUCCCUUAGGUAGCUAGGCGUCUAUGCUAUGGUCCGUGGGUCAUCAAAAGAAAAAAAAAUUGAUAAACAAUAAAAAAUUAUAAAUUAUAAAAAAAUAUAUUGGCAAAUAAAUCAAACGAGAGUUGUAAACCAAAAGUAGUUCGUAAAGGAUUGAUGAUUUGCUUGAAUGAAAAUUGGUAAAUUUAUAUAAAGGACCGGCAAAUUUAAUGUAGCAGUAAAUUAUGCAAAUAAAAGUUGGCCAAAGAUUAAAAAAAAAAAAAAUGGUAAUUUGUAAAUUGUAAAAAAAUUGGAAAUUUUAUAUAUGUGUCAGCUAAUUCUCAACAUGUUGUCGGGCAAUUGGAUGAACCUUUUUCUUUUUAACAGAUGGAAUAGUAGAAUCACCAAAAUGAAUGUUUAACAGAGUGAAAUUCAAACAUAAAGUGUAUUAAAAAAUUAUCUCAUAUUACUUGACAACAGAUCCUAUAUAUUUUUUAUAUUUAUGUGGUCUCCCUCUACCUAUCAACUUAAGUUAUUAAUUUGGAUUUUCUAACAUGAUAUCAAGGUUAGUGCUAUCCUUUUUGCAAAUGUGCAUCCCCAUUAGCCACUUAUAAUCAAGUUUCCGUUGGGUUGGACUUUUUUUAAAUAAAAUAGCUGAUCUACCGAUCACAUCUAAAGAGAACUCCUUUUACCCGUUAUAUAUCUUUUAGUUUUAGAAUUCUGAUCAGCAUUACGUUGCAUAUUCCACGUUAAAAUUCUCCGCGUGAUUGCCGGCAAAUAUCUUCAACUGACCUUUGAAAGAGUGGUGUCGCAACCUCUUUUUUUCGACGCACGCAAUCGGGUACGGGCGCCUAAGGAGGCUAAUGGCUCGGCUGAAUUAAUUAAAGCCUGGACUCUCCCAAGUCCACCAAUUCACGACUUAAUGGUUCAAUUUUUUAACCCGUAAAUCGAAUUUUAAAUUGGAGUCGCCACUAAUCGAUUUGGGGUGGGUUGAUUAGAAACCCAAGUGAAGUAUCGGAAGAAAUACUCACUCCUGCGCAACCAGAGAAAUUAAGAUCGAGGACUUGAUUACACUAGUUAAUCACUAAUGCCCUUUCGGUACCUAAUCUUGUUUAAACCUUGAGGCUUUUUGGAUGUUCGAGAGAUUUUCCACGCAUUUUGGAUGUUCGAGGGGUUUUCCAUGCAUUUUUGGAGAAAACCAUUUUUUGGGUCUUUUUCUAUUUUUUGACAUGAAAGGGAUUUUUUUUUUUACCUUUUUUGGUAUUUUUGGAAAAAUACAAGUCUUUUUGGCUUUUUCUGAAUUUUUUUUUGGCUUUUUCAUGAAUUUUUGGCUUUUUUUGGAUUUUUGGCAUUUUUUUGUAAAAUAUGAAAUAUUUUUGAUUUUUUUGAUUUUCUGGAAAUUAAAAUAUUUUUAUCACUAUAUUUUCGAUUUUCUGGAAAUUAAAACAUUUUUUAAUAUUUUUGGAAAAUAAAAUAUUUUUUUGGGUAUUUUUUGUUUUUUUUUUAACUUAAAAUAUUUAAAAAAUAUUUUUCGAAAAGAAUAUAUAUAUAUAUAUAUAUUUUGGAAAAUAAGUUAUUUAUUUAUUCAAAAUAUUAUAAAAACCGGCCCGGGUCGGAUCUGCGGGUUGGGUUCGACCCGCACGCGGACGGGCCCGCGUUGCGGGCCCGACUCAGAUUUUUCUCCCUUUUUUCUUUUUCCAAGCCCAUGAACUAACCAAGGCCCAUUUUCGUUAUAAAAAAAAGAUCCAUGGAUUAACCGGCCCACACGCGCAGGCCCACAUCGGGGGGGAAACCCACCCGAUCGCUGACCCAUGCCCGACCCGCUUUCCGACCCGGCUUCUCUUUCGUAGAACCGGAUUUUGGGAACCCUAGAGCUCGACGAUUUGCGGCGGCGAGGUGGGGCUUGGCUGGGACGUCAUCGGGCGGUGACACGGCGACGGUGGCGACGCGGCAAGCGACGGUGGCGUCGCGGCAGGCGGCGGCACGGUGACGGUGUGAGGUGCGACGGCGGCCGAACACCACAGGGGUCUCGGCGAAUCGUCGGGGACCGCGUCGAGGGUGGAAAGCGUCACAGCGACGAUGCAGCAGGGUCGUUGCUGGUUUGGGGACAACGUCGGGGAAGGACUGCAGCACGGCACGGCAGCAGUCCGGUGCAGCGAUGGCGGGUGCAGCGACGGCAACAAAACCCCUACCUUCCGGAACCCAUUCACUCAGAUCUAGACGGCGUCGGGGCACAGCUCGGGGUGGCGGUGGUGGCUUGGCAGGUGCCUCUUUUCUCCUCGUAUUCGGCCCUCGCUCCUCCUCAGAUCUGGGCUUCCUCUUUGCUCGUGCUCUCUCCCCUCCUCAGCCCCUCUUCGCGGAUCCAGAACCCUCCCCUCUCCUUCGGCUUCAGUUGUUCACAGAUCUGGGCUUGCGGGCAUUCGGACCUCCCUCGAAGUCUCUCGAGGGAAGCUUCCGGCAUUCGCAAGCUUUCGAUCUCUGCUUCGGUUCCUCUCUCUCCGGGUUCGCUUGUUGUUAGCCUCCCCCGAAGUCUCUCAGGGGGAGGUCGUUCGAGUUCGCGACCGGAUUUCUCUAGCGUGCUCGCUCUUUGAGUCUCCCCUGAAGUCUCUCAAGGGAAAGUCUCCGAGCUUGCCGUGCCCUCUGGCCUUCCCCCCAACACCCUAUUUAUAGGCGUGGGGGUGCGGGUCGGCAGAGGCUAGACCGACGGUCUUUGGUGCACUGACCGGCCUUCCUUCGCCGGCCGAACCGGCGUCAAUUCCUCCCCUUCCACGGAGGCUCGCUCGCCAUCAAUGCCGCGUCCUCUCAGCCACCGGCCUACGCUCCUCUCUCUGUUGUAGGUGGUGCUCAAGCGCGUCUUCGUCGUAGCGCGUGACUUGCAGAGGCGGAAGAAGGAGGAAGGAAGAAGAUGGGAGGAAGAAGAAGGAAAAAAGGGGGGGGAGGCUAAGUCGUGCGAGCCCACGUGAAGAAAAGAGGGGGCUGCUGCUUUUUUUCUUUUUUCUUUUUGCUUUUCUUGUUUUUAUUUUUUUUUUUGUCUUGUUUUCUUUUUGUUUUUAUUGAAUUUAUUUGAAAAAGAGGCAAAAUACAAAAAUAAAGAAACUUAAGCCUAAUUAAAAACCUAAUCAAAAUUUAUGUGUCAACAGCUGCCCCUCUUUGAAGGUGAGUUCGUAGAGGUUGCGUUCAAAGACAAACCUGAUACCUAAAUUUUGUCUAUACAUAUGCAAUAGAUUAUAUUUUAUUGGGGACCUAUUGUCCUAUACAGAAAAAGAGCAAUAUAACAUUACACAUACUAAAACAGAUAAGAAAUACAUGUAGUUACUUACCGGGACUGAGUGAGAUAGGGUGUGAACCCUGAGUUUUGGCAAGUAUCAAGGCGUCAUCUUACUUGGUGACAUGAGGAGGUUGCUUUUUCAGGGCUCGAACCAUUCUUCGGUCGCCUGUUAGAGCAAUAAGUGAUUUGUCUAGGACUCGAACCUUUCUUCGGUCGCUUUGACGGGGAAUUGCUUUCCCAAGACCCGAACCUUUCUUCGGUCGCCUUGACGGGGAAUUGCUUUUCCAAGACCCGAACCUUUCUUCGGUCGCCUGUUAAAACAAUCAAUGGUUUGUCUAGGACCCGAACCUUUCUUCGGUCGCCUUAAACGGGAGAUUGCUCCUCCAGGACCUGAACCAUUCUUCGGUCACCUGUUGGAGUAAUUAGUGGUUUGUCUCGGACCCGAACCAUUCUUCGGUCGCCGUGACGGGAAAUUGCUUCUCCAGGACCCGAACCAUUCUUCGGUCGCCUGUUAAAACAAUCCAUGAUUUGUCUAGGACCCGAACCUUUCUUCGGUCGCCUUGACGGGAGAUGCACCGACCUUUCUCAGGGCAUCUCAUUUGUGGGUGCCUAAUUUGUAUCGAGGACACCAGUUGGUACCUGACCUUUCUCGGGAGAUGCGCCGACCUUUCUCAGAGCAUAUGUUUUGUUGGGGUGUCUGACUUUUGUCAAAGACACUGGUUGGAACCCGACCUUUCUCGGGAGGAUGCACCGACCUUUCUCAGGGCAUCGAUUUGUGGGGUAUUUGACUUCUGUCAAAGACACCAGUUGGAACCCGACCUUUCUCGGGAGGAUGCGCCGACCUUUCUCAGGGCGUCGAUUUGUAUCGAGGACACCAGUUGGUACCCGACCUCUCUCAGGAGAUGCGCCGACCUUUCUCAGAGCAUCUGUUUUGUGAGGCGUCUGACUUCUGUCAAAGACACCAGUUGGAACCUGACCUUUCUCGGGAGGAUGCGUCGACCUUUCUCAGGGCAUCAAUUCUGGAAGAUACCUGGACAUUCACAAGCAUAUCAAAGAGUACCUGGAUAUUCACAAGCACUAACCUGAAGGAUAUUUGGGCCUUUACAAGCAUCAAAAGGGGCAUUUGAUUGAUCAUAAGCAUAAACUCUUGGGGGAUACCUGGAUGUUCGCAGGCAUUAAAGGAAUACCUGAUUGCUUGCGGGUAUUAAAGAGUAUUUGAAUGAUCACAAGUACAAACUCUUGAAGGAUACCUAGCAUUUGCAGGUAUCGAAGGAGUACCUGAUUGCUUGCAGGUGUUGAAAGAGUACUUGAAUGAUCACAAGUACAAACUCUUGAAGGAUACCUAGCAUUCACAGGUAUCGAAGGGGUACUUGAUAAUUGAAAAUACUGAGAACAUACCUUGGAUAUUUGUGAAGGUGUCCCACCUCCUGGCAACUGGGAAAUAUCGAGGGCAUACCUGGGAUAUUCGUGAAGGUCUCUCACCUCCUGGUAGUGGGAAUAUUGAGGAUGGAUCUCGCAUAUUCGUGAAUGUCUCUCACCUCUUGGUAAUGGGAAUAUCGAGGGCGUGUCUCGCAUAUUCGUGAAGGUCUCUCACCUCCUGGUAAAGGGGAAUAUCGAGGACGUACCUGGGAUAUUCGUGAAGGUCUCUCACCUCCUGGUAAUUGGGAAUAUCGAGGGCGUCCCUUAGAUAUUCAUGAAGGUCUCUCACCUCCUAGCAAUUUGGAAUAUCGAGGACGUGCCUCGCAUAUUCAUGAAGGUCUCUCACCUCCUGGUAAAGGGGAAUAUCGAGGGAGUACCUGGGAUAUUCAUGAAGGUCUCUCACCUCCUAGUAAUUUGGAAUAUCGAGGGCAUGCCCCGCAUAUUCGUGAAGGUCUCUCACCUCCUGGUAAUUGGGAAUAUCGAGGACGUACCUUGGAUAUUCGUGAAGGUCUCUCACCUCCUGGUAGUUGGGAAUAUCGAUGACGUACCUUGGAUAUUCAUGAAGGUCUCCCACCUCCUGGUAAUUGGGAAUAUCGAAUACGUACCUUAGAUAUUCAUGAAGGUCUCCCACCUCCUGGUAUUUGGAAUAUCGAGGACGUACCUUGGAUAUUCGUGAAGGUCUCUCACCUCCUAGUAAUUGGGAAUAUCGAGGACGUAUCUGGGAUAUUCAUGAAGGUCUCUCACCUCCUGGUAAUUGGGAAUAUCGAGGAUGUACUUGGGAUAUUCAUGAAGGUCUCUCACCUCCUGGUAGUUGGAAUAUCGAGGACGUGCCUUGAAUAUUCAUGAAUGUCUCCCACCUCAUGGUAUUUGGAAUAUCGAGGACGUACCUUGGAUAUUCGUGAAGGUCUCCCACCUCCUGGUAGUUGGAAUAUCGAGGACGUGCCUUGGAUAUUCAUGAAGGUCUCUCACCUCCUAGAUGGCCGCAGGCACUCAAAAGGGCUGGAACACCUGGGUAGCCACAGGUGUACAAAGUACUGGAAUACUUGGAUGAACACAAGUAUUUGAUGAUACGAUCUGGGACCACUCUGGCUGGUCUAAGUGUAAGAAAACAUACAUGGAUAACCAUAGGCGCACAACGCGAUGGAAUACUUGAAUGGCUACUAGUAUUCAAUGAUACAAUUUUGAGGACAACUCGGACUUGUUGAGUGUCACGGAAAUGCAGUACCUAGACAAUGAAAGGCACUCAAAGGUAAUGGGAUACUUGGCUAAUUGUAGGCAUCCUAGCUAUGAAGACAACUCAAACAAGUCGAGUGUCAAGAAAAAGGAGUAUCUAAACGGUGGCCGGUACUCAAUGACAAUAGGUAUACCUAGACAGCAGUAGGUAUUCAAUAAUAAAGGGAUACUUGGUCAGUCACAAGUAUCAAUACUCUGGGGACAACUCGAAUAGGUCGAGUAUCAGGAAAAGGGAGUAUCCGAAUGGUGGCCGGUACUCAAAGAUAAUAGGGAUACCUAGACGGCAGUAGGUAUUCAACGAUAAAGGGAUACUUGGUCAGUCACAAGUAUCAAUACUCUGGGGACAACUCGAAUAGGUCGAGUGUCAGGAAAAGAUGGAGUACCCGGCAAGUGGUGGGUACUUAAAUACAAUGGGAUACUUAGACAGUUGCAAGCACCCAAACUCAAGGGACGACUCGAAUAGGUCGAGUGUCAAGAAGAGAGUACCUAGACAGUGGUAGGUAUUUUAAGACAAAUGGGGAUAGAGAUACGCUUACCUGGUAAUAUCUCUGAUCUCUAAGAGUAUGUCUGCUAUUUGCACAAUAUGCACACAUGAUUGUAUAUGCUGUAAAUUCAUGAGUUCAAAUAAGAUUCAUGCAUGAUAAUUUUGUCAGAUUCGCAUCUUUUGAUUUCUAUUGGGGAAGAUUUUGAAAGACAACAUUCAUUUAGAAUGUAGACGUCUUGAGCAUGCCAGAUGAGGGACUUUCAGUCUGAAAGGACUUUUUGCUCACUCUCAUGGAAAAGGCUAUCCUGACCAUUGAUGCAGGAUUUAUAAGGACCACACUAUCUCACUGUCAUCAUGUCAGCAGGGGUCCGAGUAUUCUCACAAACAGUACGACUUUACCAAUGUGAGAGGUCUUUGUUGAAACUGGUAUGAAGUCUUGGCCAGCGGCUCAUCGAAGGGGACCAUCAAGGUCAAGGCUUAUGAAUGGAGUGCCGCACGAUUGUCUUCGAGCUUGCAAUUCAAGAAUCCUGCAAAAAGAGAUAGAGUAAUCUUGCUUGUACUUCUUCGAGUGAUGUUUAUAGACAUAUGAAAUCCUACGUUAAUUGAAGUGCCCUAGUUUGAAGAGACUUUUACAAUGGGAUGUAACGUAGACUUGGCUCACAUGUAAGAGGGUGAGAGUUGGUGACUGUCUUGGCAUUUGUCACUAGUCUUUCUUGUCAGAUGGAGGUUCUAUGGACUGCAACAACAACUUUUCUUGGCUGUAUUUUUAACUGGGGGGCCUUGGCCUUGCUUUUACCAGGCACACUGCUUUUUUCAUGCCCCUAUUUUUAUUCUAGUUCUUCUUUUGUGGGCAUUGACCUUGCUUUUACCAGGUACACUGCUUUUUAUGCCCCUGUUUUUUUUCAUUCUUGUCAUUAGAGGAACUAGCCUAGGCAAGUUCAAUCACGACACUGUUGUUAGACUCUUGAGUCUUCGUCUUCAGCUAGCGCUCUGAGCUAUGUUGUUUAAAUGGUAGUAACUUCUGUUUUGUCUCGAUGUGAGGGUAAAAUUACAGACUCACUUGGGUUGUACAAUGAAUACAAGUGCGUAGAGAGAGAAUUGCUCUUCGUCAUUCUAGGGCACUUAAAUUAACGCGAGUGUUCCUAUGUAAUAAACACACUCAAAGAUUGAUGCAAGUGCAAGCAAGAAAAUUUUUAUCUCUCUUCUCACUUUGUGAUGUUGUUUCGCCUCCGAUCUGCCCCAGUGUGGGGUGGUUCUUGACGAGGGUAUGAGAGAAGCUUCACCAAUGUAUGGGGCUCGAUGGGGUGAGCGAUGGAAUGCCUCUCACCGUUUUGGUUAUCGUACCAUUCGCGAGAGAACUCUUUAUCCCGCAGUCAUGGAAUCUUCUGCACUCAUCUCACAAGUGUAUAGAUGGGGGGCUGUGUAUAGGAUAUGGCUUGCCUUUCAUCGUUCUGACACGCCUCAUCCAGCAUGCUCAAUUAAUCUUGUAUUCUUCACUUAGCUGUCUAUUCUGAUAAUCCUCAGUGGAAUCAGUGAUUUAGACAGCCAAAAUCAUCAUGCACAAUUCAUCUGGAAAUGACAUGCAACAUUUUGAAUAUGAUGGAGUUUGAAAUUUUCAAAACGAGUAAAUGGUUUUGACUCAAAAAAGACCCUAUUGACAACUUUAGGAGUUAACAUGAUGGUGUUUCCAAAUAUGUUAAAUUUUGAACAUCAAAAUGGUUAUUUGCAAAUGGGUGUCGAUAGUUAUCCCUAUUGAUUAAGGAUAUGACACAUGGAGGAUCAGUCAGGGUUGGGGAUCUGAUCAGGCAUCUCUGUUUUUGCCCUUGCAGAAGAGAAGAUGAAAAUGGAUCAAUCAACAAGGCCAAAAUUAAAGGUGAAUUGAGGCCCGAAGGAUCUCUGUCAUUUGCUUUGGCAAUACUUGAGACGUCAUUUUGCUUGGGAGAGUUUGUUAUGCCUCUCAUUGAUUUGUUAUCUGUUUUGACAGUCAGGUGACCCUACAAUAGAUAAGAGGGAAUGUGUUAGUCAUGAACUCUUUUAAGAGUCGAAUAAUUGGAAGCAAUACAACUUUACCCUUCACUAUUUUGCAGACGAUUGGGUGAACCUAAAGUGAGAGGGGGACACGAAGUCCUAUGUCCCUUGCUUCGUUAGGUCAAUUAUUCUAUGAAUUGGCUCCUGGAUGACGCGUCCUUUUACACGAAGCCAGGUGAAUUUGAUGCGGGUCAUUUCCACAAACCUCACUUGGCCAAUAUUGACCAUCAAGUUUGCUUUUUGAUUCCCAAUGUUUCCUGUCAAUAGGGAAAAUACGUCAAAAGCGAGUUCAAAUAGUGGGAGUAAUGGAAACGAUACCGAAUUACCCUUCACUGGUUUGCAGAUGAUUGGAUGGACUUGAAGUGCAAGUGGGACACAAAGUCCUAUGUCUUUUGCUUCGUUAGGUCACCUGUUCUCUCGUAAUUUGCAAGUGCAAGGGAAGCAACAUUUUUUAUUAUUUUUUUACCAAGCGGCUAACUACCGCGUCGGGGAUUCAAACCCCCGACUUCGGACCAUUUCGCUUCUUCCCGGGUAACACUCGGCUAGAGGUGCCGACGGUGUCCGUAGGGCACUGCCUUUUUAUUUAACUGAAUCGGCUCCUGGACGACACGUCCUUUUAUACCAAGUCAGGUAAAUCGAUAUGGGUCACUUGAUUUGCCCAUAUUAACCAUUCAGCUUGUUUCUUGAAUCCUAUGCUUCCUAUCAAUAGGAGAAAAUAUGUCAAAAGUGAGUUUAGAUACUGAGAGUAUUGGAAACGAUACCAAAUUACUCUUCCCCAGAGUUUAUAUUUGCUAACUCCUAUGGAUAUUUGAAUGUCAGUGACGGCCUUUUGUUUUUGACACAAUUCAAUGUCUCUUUUGAUUGGCCCUCUUCGUUUGUGGCCCUGUGUACACAAUUGAUGAUUUGCAGCGCCUUCCUUCUGUGGAAUUCUGUCUUUGACCAUAUGACCAUUAGUAGCAUUAAGCAAAGUCAUGUAUUUCAAGCUUCUAUGGAAUCUGAGAUGGACAAUCAAAACCUCUAAUUCUCUGAUGGGAAUUACUUCUUGCGAGAGCAUUAAUCUAAACAAGAAGUCAGGUUUCUAGGUCCUCAUUUUGAAAUAGGGGCUAGAGACCACUUCAACUGUCUGGAUUUCUUUCCUGCUGACAGUAGCCAAUUCAAAGAAAGAGAAAAGAUCCCUUCCUUGUACUUCUAGGCUUGUCGAAGCUGGAAGUCCCGUUAAUGAAACCACAGCAUCUAGUUGCUCAGGCAUGUUGUGGGGAAAAGAUAUUGCUCCGGCUUGAGAAGGAGUUGGGCAGGAGCGAGGUGGAGUGCACAGAGCCCUUGGGGAUGGCUUGAUUUCAACCGUAUGCCUGUACCUAUUACGUCCUAUCUUUCGUUUCCCUUGUUUUCUUGGCAGAGUGUCUUCGAAUUUAGUGAGUUCACAUGAUGUGCCAGCUUCAAAUGCCCCCUGUCACACUAAGUCAAGGGGGAUGGGGAUGAUAUUCUGGGACACAAAGUGAGUGAGUCAGAAAGACAAAUAUGAUUAAAUCUAACAUCUUGUUUUGACGAAAGCUUUUGGUGAUGAAGUGCUUUUUGUUUUCAAAAUAUGUAUUCAGGGGGAGAAAAAGCAUGAGGAAGCCCAGCCCUCAGUAUUCUCCUUGGAUGAUAUUUUCUUUUCAUGGUUGGAUAACAUCACUGGGCCAGUUUGGGCUACCGCCUCAUGCUUUCAAAACAAAAUAUUAGAACUGUACAUUAGAUUACUGGAAUGGAAAAUACAACAGUAGCACACUAGACAGGAUAAAAAACAUGAAAUUAUAAAAACAAGCAACACUCAUGAAAACUCCUAUGAAAAUGAGCACUUUAAUAGUGCUGGUUUUGAAAUCAAGCGCCUUUGGGUUCCUCGCCUCCAGUAGACUCGAAGUAUUCGCAUGAGAGGACCACUUCAUUGAAGCUACGAAAAUGCAACCCAUGCAACCAACAGCGAUGCUUGCGGGGUAAAGCUCCUAUGAACAGCUUUAUCAUUUCUUCUUCGGCCAGCUGAGGGUAGGUUUGCAUCAUAAAAGCUUCCCACCUUCUUGCAUAUGCUCGAAAAUCCUCCAUUGGUCUUCUUCUAAAGUGAACCAAGUUCUCGCAAGACAGUCUAGCUCCAAUCUGGUGCUGGUAUUGAUGCAGGAAUGUGGAAGACGGCUCCUUCCAAUCCCUCAUGAGGCUGAUAUCUGCUGUGAUGAACCAUUGCAAUGCAGACCCUGUAAGACUUUCUUGGAAAGCCUGAGUUAUGAAUGACAUCGGGCCAUAGUACCGACUCAUUUCAGCAUGGAGGUACUGCAAGUGGGCCACGGGGCAAGUCGUGCCGUUAUACUUGCGGAAAUUAGGUAUCCACAUUUCUAUGGGGGUCAUGAUCCUACCAGGGCAAGACAAGCUUGGUAUGUCUUGAUUAGGCCACUGGUUUUUCCAUUGCAUAUUCGUUGUAGUGGUGAAUUCUUCUGUUUUAGGGAAGUUGGACUCUACCGAAAUUACCCCAUUACUUUCUUCUAGGUUAAAAUUUCCGAAUGAGGAUGAAAUAUUGAAACUAUCCUCAUGGUCAGAGGACAAGCUUAGUACUUCGUUAGGAUCGUAGUGGAUAAAGACGUAUGCUUCUUCUUCUGACAAGCCUUCAUCCCCGGGUGAGAGUAGGAAACAGUUACACGAUGAAUCGUCAGUUUCAUUGUCAAAAUAACGCUGGAAGUCCUUGGGAUUGUAUUCUAGGGCCGGGAAGUCUUCAGGGUUGUACUCUAAAGGAUGGUAGCCUUUAAAGCUGUAUUCUUGGGAAUGCUCGAAGCUUUGGUGUGGUGGCUUGUCGGUAGAUGCUAAAUUGAUUUGCUUAGGCUUUCUUUUCUUGGCUUAUGGUCUAGACCUUUUGAAUAAGGCCCUUUGUUUUGCUAACUUGAUUCUGUCAAGGGAAGUGAGAGACAUUAGAGUUUCACUGUCUGAUUCACUUUCCAAGUUGAUAGGGGUUGGUAUUCUUUGGACCCUAGCUCUUGGAGUAAGCUUGGGGAGUUGUCCAGUUGUGCCCCGCUCUUGAACAGGCUCUAAGUCUAUGAUCUCGUACAAAGGCUCCUUGCCUUUCUUAGUGGGAAAUUUUCCAGUAACAGGAUGCUGCUUAGCUGCCCAUUUAUUAUGCAAUGCUUCAUUGACACGUUUCUCUCCUAUCUCAGCAACUAACGGCUCCUUGUGCUCUGCGAUCACCGGCUCUUCGUAGGGCAAGAUGAUGUCAGGGGUGAUGUCAAUAUUGUACUCUUGGUGAAAAACAUAAAUUAGCUCCCUCCAGGUUUUAAGGGGACUAAUCUUCCUGACAAUGUACCAUCGCAAGGCAGGGCCAGUCAAGUUCGAUUGGUACGAUUGAAUCAUCCUUCGGACCAGGUAUGCCUGCAAGUAGUUCUCUGGGCAUGAGGUAUUAGCAUACCUUUCGCAUUCAGGUGCUUUGAGCUCUUCAGGGAUUUCAAUGCUGGCAUAAUUAGAAAGGUCCAUGGGAUUCCGCCCCUGCAGCUGGUUUAAUUUUUUCAUGAUUCUUUCAAACUGUCUAUGGUACUGGCUAUUUUCUGGCAAAUUUGCGGGCAUCAUGACGGUGUUUGAGGCAACUAUAGAGUUGGGCUCAGCUUGAGUGGAUUUCAUUUGUCUCGAGAGUUGUUGAAGGACAAUAGACAUCUAUCCUACGCCGUCUUCAAUGUUAACGAGGUGAUUUUGUACAUCAUUCUGAUCGACCCCUAUUGGAUGAGGCCACUCACGGACGAGUGGUGGCUGAUGAUUCAUAAUUACCUGUCGUUGUGAAAAUAAUGAAUGAGCACAAAAGUAAACAGAGAUUGACCCAUGGCAAUGGUCUAACUACUUUUUAUUUAUCAAAAGAGGAUUUUAUAGAUCGUAAACUUCUGACAUUUAAAACUUGAAAUUGAAAUGACAUAAUGAAAUGUUAGAUAUUAAACAAAAGUCCCUAAACAAUGGGACAAAACUUUAACGAUAUUAACACUAAGGGAGACACGACUGCUAAUCUAUAUGCGAUAGGGAGCCUUGUUCUUGCAAAGGCUGCUUGUUUUCUUGGACUGGCUCUGAGAUGAGUAUCUGGCUUAUUCCCAUAUCCUCUGCAUAAUCCCUGCUUGCUCGUGCGGGCUGCUCUCUCUGAUUGAGCGAGGGACUGAUGGCUUCCACCUUGUCGGGAUGUGAUGAUUGUGGAUGUAGGCCGCAGAGGCGUGGUGGGCUUUUUCUUCUCCCUCAAGCCCUUCAGGUACCACGAUCCUUUUACAAUGGCACUUGUCCCAAGUUUCUUCAACGAUAGAAAUUUCGACCGCAUAGUCACGGCUUGUGUUGAAAAGAUGUGGAGGAAUUCUCCUGCUGGAAGGCGGUGGAAUUUCUUGAAGGGCUCCAAAUUGUCGUGCCACCCGAUAUGGGUAAUAGGGAACAACAUCGGUGCAGCCGAGCAACGGAAUUAGGUGGGUGCGUUUGUAAGCAAAGCGGGCCCUCUUUUCAUGGAACCAACCAGCACACCAUUGGAAUGCCUCAGGAGUUGGGUUUCUUAGAAAGCCAACCCAAUUUAGACAGCUUUUGAUUAGGAAUAUAUGGUCCUAAAACCAUAAAUUUUUGUAAUGGAUUUUUGAAAGCAUUUGUUUCAGACGAUCGCAUGAAGUCUCGGAAUUCGCUUAGGUGAGAAAAGAACCAGACUUGUAAAAUUUCAGGAGAGACCCGCAUGAUUUUCUCCGUGUUGUCUUUAAAACGAUUAAAGGACAAGAAUGUUUCAGUUAAAAUCAUGUUGACAUAAUUUCCCUCCCUCAAGAUCUAACUAUCCAUGCCAUCUUAGGACUUAUGGCAUUUCUUUGAUGAGGGAAAAUGAUGAGUCCGAAAAAGGCCAAGAGGAAAAUCUCGCUUUUUUGGGUCAUAGGCUGAUUUUGAAAACAAGCAUUCAUAAAUUCAAAUGGGCAGAUAUUAUGGUUGUUUUCAAGAAUUUGUGUCAUAAUAUGGACUUUGGUUCUUAAAAGUCGCGCCAACCCACGCAAUGGGAUGAUGCCUGUUGAUGGCCUGACAAGCUUUUUCUCAAGAGGCAUUCCAGUGAUGAUGAUGUAUUCCUCCAGGGUUGGGGUUAGCUCAAACCUACCAAACAUAAAAGUAAGUGUUCUCGGGCACCAGAAAUGUGCCAUGGCUUGUAUGACUUCGGGACGAACAGUGAUUUGGAUCAGCAAUAGGAGAUGACCGAGUUUGGCCUUCACGCGCACUUGGGCAAACUGAUUCAAUUGACCCCACCAUCUAAAGAUCUCCACCUUGGGAGCAGGAAUGAACUGGAUAUCAUCUNNNNNNNNNNNNNNNNNNNNNNNNNNNNNNNNNNNNNNNNNNNNNNNNNNNNNNNNNNNNNNNNNNNNNNNNNNNNNNNNNNNNNNNNNNNNNNNNNNNNCCAUGGGCCCAAAUAAAAGACUGAGUAAAAGUAAAGAAAUCACUUUGCAUUUAAAUAAAAUGACAAGCACAAAGACAUGCACAUGAGAUGUGUGGCUCGAUUCUAACUCAGAAGGCUUGAUGAAAUUAAAAGGGUAUCCGCCCAUCGCAAUCUCACGUUAGCAGCAUACCCCCUUAACCUCGGCUAAGAAAUUCGGGGAAAAGAAAGGCAACCUCUACAUCGCAGUCUCGCGUUCGAGGUCGUAUCUUUCUCAACACCAUCCUAUAAAUCCUAUGGCGGCCCAGGUCCGGCGGCCGGGUUGUGUGUGCCAUGUGUAGUGUUUAAAACAGUAAAGCAUGCACAGCAAUUUAUAAUCACAAAACAUUUUAUUUUGACAGAAUAAAAAAAACUUUAAGCUAUUACCCUGCACAAAAGAAAAAAACCCAAGUCAGCAAAGCAUUUAAACAAAGAUAAAAUGGCCUAAGUCCUCAAAGUCCCCAGUGGACUCGCCAAGCUGUCGCGACCUCUUUUUUCGACGCCCGCAAUCGGGUACGGGCGCCUAAGGAGGCUAAUGGCUCAGCUAAAUUAAUUAAAGCCCGGACUCUCCCAAGUCCACCAAUUCACGACUUAAUGGUUCAAUUUUUUAACCCGUAAAUCAAAUUUUAAAUUGGAGUCGCCACUAAUCGAUUAAGGGUGGGUUGAUUAGAAACCCAAGUGAAGUAUUGAGAGAAAUACUCACUCCUGCGCAACCAAAGAAAUUAGGAUCGGGGACUUGAUUACACUAGUUAAUCACUAAUGCCAUUUUGGUACCUAAUCUUGUUUAAACCUUGAGGCUUUUUGGAUGUUCGAGGGAUUUUCCACGCAUUUUGGAUGUUCGAGAGGUUUUCCAUGCAUUUUUGGAGAAAAACAUUUUUUGGGUCUUUUUCUAUUUUUUGACAUGAAAGGGAUUUUUUUGACCUUUUUUGGUAGUUUUGGAAAAAUACAAGUCUUUUUGGCUUUUUCUGAAUUUUUUUUGGCUUUUUCAUGAAUUUUUGGCUUUUUUUGGAUUUUUGGCAUUUUUUGUAAAAUAUGAAAUAUUUUUGAUUUUUUUGAUUUUUCGGAAAAUAAAAUAUUUUUAUCACUAUUUUUCGAUUUUCUGGAAAUUAAAACAUUUUUUAAUAUUUUUGGAAAAUAAAAUAUUUUUUUAAUAUUUUUCGAAAAGAAAAAAAAAAAAUUUUUUUGGGAAAAUAAGUUAUUUAUUUAUUCAAAAUAUUAUAAAAACCGGCCCGGGUCGGAUCCGCGGGUUGGGUUCGACCCGCACGCGGACGGGCCCGCGUUGCGGGCCCGACUCAGAUUUUUCUCCCUUUUUUCUUUUUCCAAGCCCAUGAACUAACCAAGGCCCAUUUUCGUUAUAAAAAAAAGAUCCACCGGCCCACACGCGCAGGCCCACAUCGGGGGGAAACCCUACCCGAUCGUUGACCCAUGCCCGACCCGCUUUCCGACCCGGCUUCUCUUUCGUAGAACCGGAUUUUGGGAACCCUAGAGCUCGACGAUUUGCGGCGCCGAGGUGGGGCUUGACUGGGACGUCACCGGGCGGUGACACGGCGACGGUGGCGACGCGGCAAGCGACGGUGGCGUCGCGGCAGGCGGCGGCACGGUGACGGUGUGAGGUGCGACGGCGGUCGAACACCACAGGGGUCUCGGCGAAUCGUCGGGGACCGCGUCGAGGGUGGAAAGCGUCACAGCAACGAUGCAGCAGGGUCGUUGCUGGUUUGGGGACAACGUCAGGGAAGGACUGCAGCACGGCACGGCAGCAGUCCGGUGCAGCGAUGGCGGGUGCAGCGAUGGCAACAGAACCCCUACCUUCCGGAACCCAUUCACUCAGAUCUGGACGGCAUCGGGGCACAGCUCGGGGUGGCGGUGGUGGCUUGGCAGGUGCCUCCUUUCUCCUCGUAUCCGGCCCUCGCUCCUCCUCAGAUCUGGGCUUCCUCUUUGCUCGUGCUCUCUCCCCUCCUCAGCCCCUCUUCGCGGAUCCAGAACCCUCCCCUCUCCUUCGGCUUCAGUUGUUCACAGAUCUGGGCUUGCGGGCAUUUGGACCUCCCUCGAAGUCUCUCGAGGGAAGCUUCCAGCGUUCGCAAGCUUUCGAUCUCUGCUUCGGUUCCUCUCUCUCCAGGUUCGCUUGUCGUUAGCCUCCCCCGAAGUCUCUCGGGGGGAGGUCGUUCGAGUUCGCGACCGGAUUUCUCUCGCGUGCUCGCUCUUUGAGUCUCCCCUGAAGUUUCUCAAGGGAAAGUCUCCGAGCUCGCCGUGCCCUCUGGCCUUCCCCCCAACACCCUAUUUAUAGGCGUGGGGGUGCCGAUUGGCAGAGGCUAGACCGGCGGUCUUUGGUGCACUGACCGGCCUUCCUUCGCCGGCCGAACCGGCGUCAAUUCCUCCCCUUCCACGGAGGCUCGCUCGCCAUCAAUGCCGCGUCCUCUCAGCCACCGGCCUACGCUCCUCUCUCUGUUGUAGGUGGUGCUCAAGUGCGUCUUCGUCGCAGUGCGUGACUUGUAGAGGCGGAAGAAGGAGGAAGGAAGAAGAUGGGAGGAAGAAGAAGGAAAAAAGGGGGGGGUGGGCGCUAAAUCGUGCGAGCCCACGUGAAGAAAAGGGGGGGCUGCUGAUUUUUUUCUUUUUUCUUUUUGCUUUUCUUGUUUUUAUUUGUUUUUUUUCUUGUUUUCUUUUUGUUUUUAUUGAAUUUAUCUGAAAAAGAGGCAAAAUACAAAAAUAAAGAAACUUAAGCCUAAUUAAAAACCUAAUCAAAAUUUAUGUGUCAACAAGUGGAGGGACAGGAAAUUGGAAUGGGCUUUAGAAAGAAAAUGUUAACAAUGCCGUUAUCAGUUCACACUUCAGUCCUCAGUAUACAACAAAAGUACAUGGCCAAUAGACAAGCAGAAGGACAUAUGAAGUUUCUCUCAGUGAUCUUUGGAAAUAUCUUGAAUGCCAUAUAAAAUGGCCUUUAGUCUGUUCAUUGCUGGAUUGGUAGAGGGAGUGGACUAUUUUUAAUGCUUUUGGCUGCAUCUUCUAACCUUUUUCUAGUGAUGGUCGAUUCGACCUCCUCGGGUUGAGCUUAGCGCACAAAGGAAGCAUACUUUUGCAAGGACGAGCUAGGAAGGAGAGGGUAUUGUGCUUACACUAGGGGUUACUCGUUUGGCGUACUCACAACAACUUGAAUUAGGCUGCAAAUUGAGAUAGCUAAGUCCAAUCUUUACUCAAACAUACACUUGGAUAAGCUGAGCACGAUCACCGAUUGAGUCUAAUGUAGCUAUGCGUUCGGCCAAUGGGGCUGACCAAAAGAAAGUCAUCGUUGUAAAUCAUAGUGUUGAUUGAUGAUUAUUGUAUUUUUCAUUAAUUAUAUGUUUAUAGUACGUAUGACAGGGAAAUUUUCUGCAAUAUAGUGUUACAUUAGAUAGACAAGCAGUUCCAAUUAAAGUUUUAUACACCUCAUGUACAUUACCUUAAUGUGAGGAUUAUCGCCACGUCUUCCCAUGAAAUUAUGGUUUUAUCACACAAUUGUGAUUGAAUUGGUCAAUUUAUCUGUGAGGAUGAUACCAAAUGACAAAUAUCGAAGCAUCAAAUCCCCUAGAAAAGUCAAAUGAGACAAUCAUGUCAAAUGUCAUGCGUGAAAUGAGGGAAAACCUUUUCUUUUACGUUGCUCCCUGAAAUCCGGGAAACCCUAAAAGAUAGGGAAUUCGCAAUGUCCACUCAAAUUCAUGGCCAAAGCUCGGAUAACGGAAAACAAGACUUUCCAGUAUGCAGGAACUACACUUUUAGCUGUCAUGUAUGUCCUCUUAUGCGGUCAUUUCUCUCCUCCCAUGUGCUCGGGGACCACCUUCUUGAUUCUCUUAAGAUUAUUAUUUUCGGACGCUCCCUCUAUAACUUCAUAUAAUUCAAAUUCCUCUUCUUCUUUUUUCCAUUUAAAUUUAAUUUGUUAAAAGAAACUUAGAAGUACUCCAAUAGUGUAGAGCGAAAUUCGCCCCUUUGUGAUGAGCAGUGAGGUUUAUUUGUCCCAGAAAUUAUAUAGUUCCUAUAGUUACAUCAAAUGCACAAUUGGUUAUCCAAAAGUUGUAAGAGUCAUGUUUUCUUCAAUCUCUAAUAGCUGGGAACUUCAUCUAACCUGUCUUUGAUUACUGAACUACAUGUCUAAAUAUAACCUGCUUGUAAGUUAAACAAACACAGAAUCCAUAACAAGAGAGAGGUGUUUUAUUUGCGUUCAUCCAAGUUUUAAUUGAGUGACAAGUACAAUAUUCUUGUACCUAAUGGUUUAUUGGUGGUGCAGUUCUCUAUUUUAAUUGAGUAAAAUUCUAACCAAAGAGGUGCAAAAUAUAAAAAUUCUAAGCUAAGAUAUGCUUUUAAACAAUCUAGUAUAGAUUGAUCAUUAUGUGCCACUUUUAAGAUAAUACGGUACUUCUAGUGAAAAUUGCAAGUUUUGAACUUCUUAUUGAGUUUUCCAAUUGGAAAUAUAUUUGGAGUUCAUAUUCUUUAAAGAGACCAAUAUUCUUUUACGAAGCCCAUAUUUUCUCAUGAUCCUCUAUUUCCACACUAAAAGAACCUACUUGUUGUUUUCUGUGAAGAGAUUACCCUCCGACAGGUGUCAGGGAUCGCAAUCUGUCUGCUUCCAAGGUACCCCUUUCCUGCAUUGCCAUGCACGUGAAACCCUGCAUCGGGUCUCUUAUCCUCUCGGCCAAUCAUCAAUGCCUCGGAACAUCCCACAAUGUGCCGCUCUAUAUAUACCUCCCUUAGAAUCCCUCAAACACACAUUCGAAAGGAAAUCCUUCUCCCAAGAAAUUAAAGAGUUGGCAUAAAAAUGUCAAUACUCCAAACCUUAAUUCUGUUCUCCUUCCUCCUCUCCGCCUCCCACGCGGCGGUCCAGGACUUCUGCGUUGGAGACCUCUCGGCCCCCGAGGGCCCCGCGGGCUACUCCUGCAAGAAGGUCUCAGCAGUCACCGUGAAUGACUUUGUCUUCUCAGGCCUCAGCGUGGCUGGGAACACCUCGAACCUCAUCAAGGCUGCGGUGACCCCGGCAUUUGUAACCCAGU
Molecule: long non-coding RNA, 66357 nt
Filed under: Eucalyptus grandis
Lineage: Eukaryota; Viridiplantae; Streptophyta; Magnoliopsida; Myrtales; Myrtaceae
Description: long non-coding RNA (EGRA_LNC001935)
Source: RNAcentral